This 51687-nucleotide long non-coding RNA is filed under the name Zea mays. RNAcentral's name for it is "long non-coding RNA (ZMAY_LNC000960)". Lineage: Eukaryota; Viridiplantae; Streptophyta; Magnoliopsida; Poales; Poaceae. The record is from RNAcentral.
AAAAUUGUUCACUGUACUAUGGUUUUUUAAACGUACGACACAAAGCAUGGUUCAUAGCUCUAUGAAUCAAACACUAGAGAGCCCCAAAGUUGGGCUCAUCACACGGAAACUAAUUUUCAGUUGACUGAAACAGCCUGCUGCACCAUCUGCAUCUCCCUGUUCAAGCCUUAUUAUUGCACAACUUCACAUGGCAACAAACUCAUCUCUCUGUUAACCAAAAGUAUUCUCCAACUAUAGCUCUAUUAUUUUGUUGCUGCAGUCCAAGACCAAAAAUGCAGGGAUCAAAAGUUACAGUGCCCCAAACAGCUUCCAAACUCAUUAAAUCUCCUAGCAAUAGUCAACUAAAUCAGUCCUCUCUCAAGUCUGACAGAGAACCUUUGGAGACACUUUACUCCCACUUUUAUGUAGCACCAGCCUAGCACUGCUUAAAUAAGUUUGUUCUCCUAGAUAUGGUCUUCCAUUUUUCUGUAAAGUUUUCUGUCCAAAAUUACCAGGAUUUGGCACAAUAGAGCUCCAAACAGAGCACCAAACUGUAAAUUCAGGUUUUAGUGAUCUGCACAAAAAUUCAGUUUGUGCACACUAACAGUCCAUUUUCAGUCUACUUUUUCUCCACUUUUUGUGUAGGAUCAUAUCCAUCACCCAUAAAGACAUUUGUACACUAACUUAUGGUAUUCAAUUCCUCUAUAGAAACCAUAGUUCAAAACCUUAUGGAUUAUGCACAAGGAAGCUCCAAAGUCUGUCACAAUCACUGAAAUUCAGACUUAUAUACCAUUCCGAAUCUGAAAAUUCAGAAUUCAGCCACCUAGCUGACAGUCCAAAUUUGAGCAGCUGUUACUCCAACUUUUGUAUAGGAUCAUGUCCCUCACCCUUAAAGAAAGUUAUUCAAAAUCAUAUAGUAUUCCAUUUCUCUACAAACAUCACAACCCAAAACCUUAUAUAAUAGUUGCAAAUAGGCUUCAAAACUGCUAUCAAAAUACUGAAACUCAGUUUCAGUUACUGUUUCCAAUCUGAAAAUUCAGAAAUACAGCAGCACCACUUGGAACCACUCUUUUUCCUAGGUUCCAAAUGUUUAUAGGGGCAAGUUGCUUAUUAAAGUUUAUACUCCAAUAGUUCCUCUACAGGUUUUGCAUAAUGGCCGUUAGCUAAACCCUUUUGGACUCAAUCUACCACAGCCCAAAGUUGGCAUCAAACACAGAAAUUCAGAGUCUGAAUUUACUCCAAGUCUGAAUUUGACAAUCUCUGACAGCUCUAAUUUGGACCAGUUUUACUCCAAGUUUAGAAUAUCUUUAGGGCUAGGUAACUUAAUCAAACUUAUACUCCUUAUGUAGAUUUAUAAUUUUGUUUUAAUGAUCAUAACCUAUAACCCUAUGGAUAGAGCAAUAGAGAGCUCCAAAACUGCAUAAAUCUUACUAAAACUCAGCUGCAAUGAUUCAGCUAAGUCUGAAAACACAAUACCUAGCAUCCCUUCUUUGGACCACCUUUGCUCCUGGUAUCAUGUAGUUUUAGGGCUAGUACACUUAAUAAGGAUUGUGCUCCAACAAUUACUCUACAAAUUUGUUAUAGCAACUUCUUACCAAAAGUCCAUAGAUCAAAAGUUAUAAGGGUCCAAAAACAGCUAUAUGAAACUGUUUUCAGCCCAAUUCAAACUGAACCCAAGCUGAAAUUUUGCAAAUUACUCCAAAUUUCUCCACACAACUUGGAAUUCUCCAGAUAUGAAAUUUGUUCACUUUUCCAAGUUCUACAACCUUGGUAUAUGGACUUUUAGUUAAAUUCUUCUAGAUUUUAAAUUCCACAUUUGGGGUUAGUUUAGGGUUUCAAAUGAGUUUCAUCUGUUUUUCAGCUUCUUCCAGGGAUUCAUCCCUUUGAUCCAUCCAUCAAAAACAAAGUUACUCUCUAGUCUAAGAUCCAACUUUAGUAUAUGCAGCUCAUUCCCAACAAGUCCUCGGUUUAGGAAUUAUUUUGUUCAUCCAUAAUUCCAAGCAAGUUUUUCAACCUAAGUCCUAUAUUCAACACACCACAUCACACUUUUGAAUCGAAAAUUUUAACCUAAUAAAUGCAUUCUAAGUGUAACAAGCAAGUUAAUGCAAAUGCUUAUGAUGACAUGUCAGAGUUUUAGUUCACGUAACACCAGGAGUGUUACACCAAUAAAGAAUCUCACGUAGCAAAAAUAGAUUGUGCCAAGAUAACACAUUGAUAUAGUCUCAUAAUGGAUUACAACUACUAACUGUGAUACCAGCGCGUGCCGAGUAGCACAACCAUGUGUGCGCACACACAGAAGGCCCUCGAUUUUGUCGCGACACCGUCAGUUUUAGUCAUAACGCCAUUAACAAACUCAACCAAUGAAAAACCUUACGUGGCACAAAUAAAUUAAGCAAGGGUGACAAUAUACAAAGAGUUACUCCACCUGUAAAAAUGGUUACAAGUAGAGAGCCAAAUAGAUCAUGACCCGAUGAAAUGAACAAGACAUGGCCAUAACCUAAAUUGGUUGGUGAGGGAGUACAAUGGGAGACUGUUGAUUCAGCCCCAAGCAUAUUUCUAUGCCAUCGUAACAAUUACAAGGUCAAGGAUUAGUAUCUAUUAGAUACGGAGGGAAAACAAUUAUAAGAUUAAGCUGGUAUGUCUUCGAUAAAUAUGAGGAAACCAAAGGCAUCAAACUCAAGAAAAUGGUCGGACAUGCCUUUCCUAGGUUAGGUUGAUAAAACAACAUUGCGAUCUUCGAGAACAGGCAAACUAGAAUGAAGACAUCAGCUUGCGCCAAUCGAGUAGGGGAAUGGUUUUGGAAGAAGAUAUAACUCGAGAUUCUUAUCUUAAGCCCGGGUACACUUUAGGUCCAACAAAGAAAUUAUCUAGGCAUUUAUUUUUAUGUGUUUGGUCAUGGAGUGAUAAUGGAGAAUUCAAAUUUGGGUUAUGGUUUACUAAAUAAGGACAUGACCUAAUUUUGGGUUUAAGCAAACAAACUACUAACCUUCUAUAAGUAUAUCAAGCACAAGAGCAAACACAUAUAAUACCUAAAUAGAUUACCUAAAGAACGGAGGACAACUAUUUCAUCGAAGUUCAUAAUUCAACAUUACACCACAUUAUCUACAACCACUGGUUACUGGAAUAAGGAUGAGAGUAGCAUUUUGGAUGUAUAGGUGACAAACACAAUGCAACAAUCAGAAUGCAUGCUCGUCCUAAGCGUCCUCACAAAUUUUUGCCAACCUAAUGUGGCAAUAGUGUUCUAUAUCGGUGGCAUACUUACGACUCUCACGGUAUUUUGCUAGUCGUCAGCUACACAUACGUUUUCGAGGUUAGUGUACCUACAGAAAAAUCCAUCACAGCCCAUUUCCCAAUGAUGCAAUUCACACAUGACAGUUUAUCACAGUUUAUACUCCAUAUAUUUCUAUAUGUAGGCCAGCUCAUCAUUAAGCGCCGAGCCACGCAUAGGCGCCGCUGCCACACUUUAACCAUAGGGCAGCUCAUUAUGGUAACUCACCUUCAUACCUGAGCGUAGGUGCGUCGUUACAAGUACAUUAUAUUUCUCAGCAUUCCCAUGUCUGUAUACCCAUACACCUCCAUGGGGUACUGAAUAUAUUUAAUCCUGCUCCGAUACCAGCUGUGGCAGAACCUCCCAAGUUAUUGGGCCCACAUGCACCUGUCUUUGUCUCAAAGACCUCAGCGGCUAUGCAUGUGCACCAGAUAACUUAACAGGUUCCGUCCGAGUGUCCCAAGGACCCCGGAUAAACCACUUACAACCAGGAUCACAAGAUUAAGUAACACAAAUCACACACCAACAUUUUGCAGCGGAAAUCUUAUUACCAAAUUUUACAAGUUACAUCAAGUUUUACAAUGUACAUGAUCAGAGUGAUUACAAAAGUGAUUCAAAGAAUAACUUUGAACUGUUAUAAAUUAUUUGUAGUUUUAAAAUAUAUGCUAACUCAAGUGACCAUCCUUAAUAAGAAGUUUAGAGGAGUUACUUAGACUUAUAAGGUCGUGCCCACCGACGCUGAACACCAAUCACAAUCAAGUGACUCGAAACCUGCAGCAACAAUGGGUAAAACCCUAAGUAUGCAAGUACUCAGCAAGACUUACCCGACUAAAGAAAAGACUCUCAAGGAUAUGCUGGCUAGAGGGAGUCAAGGUAAAGCUUAUCAAGAAUCAAAGACUCUGUUUUACAGAAAUGCUUACUAAAAGUGGAUCCUUAACAAUCCAUUUUUACUUGUCAGGUUAAGUAAAGUUACCUGCAUCUAGAGUUCUUUCUGUCCUAGUUCAAGCACUUGGCCUAUACUAGUCGUCUUUUAUCAACCCUUCAGUUCACUGGAUUUCUACAUGUAAGUCAGUGACCAAGUCUUCAUGUCCGAGAAGUAACGGCGAUCCAAAUCGAUUAAUACCCAGCUGGGGAUCUCCGAUCACACGACAUAUGUAGCACUUAACCCUUGCAUAUGUCAACUCGCCACUGGGGUUCUUAAGACCAGAUCAGGUUCACGCCAACCGAGAGCACAGAUACACCACCGUCUAGCCUCUUCCCACGGAGGGUACACGCUACUCUCGCCAUCUCUCCACUCCCAUUGCGUGUUGUCUUAUUCUGGUAUUAGUCUGCCCGAGGCAAAGCUUACCCAUGAUGAGGCAUGUGACCAGUUAAAAGGUCCUCGAUCAUCAAGCCUACAUCGACAAGGUCCUUAAUCGACUCAGAUGGAGACACUACACCGAGACUCCGUUCUCGUGCAAGUCAAUCGCCCGGUCUCAGCUUUAUUAUUUUGAACCCAAAGUUUGGUACCUGGCAGAGGUACAUCUUUUCCGAUGUUGAACCCAUCACGACCGUGAUGGAUCCACCAAGUUUUAUUUUUGAAAACAUUCCUACCCACUGAAGCAUCACUUUUGUUUUAAAACAAAACAUUUUUGUCUUUCUAGAGCAAGGCUAAGCAUCAAAAAUUAUUUUCAAAACGGGUAUCAAGGAAGGGUAAUCAAUUUUCAAGUAAGGAAAUGCAUCAACGGUUUAGCACACAACUCCUAUCACCUAAUGCAUCAAACAAGGUGAUAAAUAUUUUAAAACAGCAAGGAGGUGGCAAAUGCACCAGGGCUUGCCUGAAUAACAAUAGGUUAGUGUUUGUUAGGCGAUGUCCACUUGACGAUCAUCCUUAUCCUGGCACUUGAUCAGGCAGGUUCGUCCAUCAGCAUCGCCAUGCGGAGUAGUCCACGCUUGGGGUCGACUUGGCUCGUCUUCCGCAUCACGCGAUUAUUUAUCGUACCUCAUGAGAUGCACGAUGCACAUGUAUGAGCACGAGUAUAAAGAGUAUAAGAUAGAUAUAUGCACCGAAGAGAAUGAAACACGUAUAACAAAACAUUAAGCAAAUACUAGCUAGCGAUGUACGACUAAUUAAAAUAAUUACGCCUUUCUAGCCUAUUCAGAGGUAGCGCAUACAUCGCAAUACAAUAAAAUAUACACACGCUCUGCUUUCUUUUAUGAUUUAUUAACAGAUUCAUAUUACUACAUAUAUUUUUACCUAGUCAGCAUAGUAUGACCACUAUCAUUUGACACAAGAAAAUCUGAAAAUGCUUAUCACCAACUAAACCUAGAAUAAGUUAACUAUGUAAGCAGGACAUCGACGUUCUUAAACAAUACACUUGCACAAUCAACCAUGACCGUAUUUAUCAACUAUAUGAUCGAGACACUAUACUUAUUAUUCAUUUAACCAAUCUUUACGGAUAACUAAUUCAACCAAUCCAUACAUCAGAUCAGUUAACAAAAUAGCAAAUCAGCUUACCGUUCCAACAGCUGACUCGAAUCCGCGAGAUCGGUAAUGAUUUUCCGAUUCAAAUAAUUUGUCGAGCGCUUGGCAGGUACCACACGAACUUCACGCUGCUAGCUUUGUUUUCGCCCGAUUCUUGGGAUUUCUUGAUGACACACGGAACGACGACGAAAUCGUGUCUGGAGCGAGUUGGCGAAGUGAGGUGCACGACCGGCUAGCAAAGAUGAAUGUGUGCGGCACGGAAAUGAAAGCAGAACUUGAUAGCCGGCUUGGAGACUUAGCGAGACGGUAACAUCACGGCGACGCACAGCAAGGCGCGUAGACCUCGUAGGGCCAGAUCUUGGCGAGGACGAGCACACACGACGCGGCGACGAACGACGACAACUUGCAAAGUCGACGACGCGAUGGGGCUUAAGGCCGAGCAAGUCGAGAGGACGCGCUGGCGAGCAGGAAACCGCGCGAGCACUGGACACGGAAAACGACGGGCUUGACAGCACGCGAAGCUAUCACCAGUGACGACACGACGAUGACGACACGAGCGAGCGCGGAUCGGCGCCACAGAAGCCGAGCGCACGGUGUCAACAACAGAGGGGGUGGACGUGAGCUGGGCACCAUGAGUGAGCUGUUCGGCCACCAGCGAGGGAGUAAGCUGAGCAGGAAAAAUACACAGGGCGCGCACGAGCUGAGCGACGGCAGGACAGACAGAUCGGCACCAUGGGAGAGCACCAGAGAAGGGCAGCGGUGGCCGGACGCCAUAGCUGAGGGCAGGGGCGAGCUCGGCGUGCAAGGAGAAGCACCGGCGAGCUGGGAGCGGAAGAGAGCUGGACGCUGCGUAGAGGCUAGCAGAAAGCUUUGCGAGCUAGAGCAGAUGCGCGCGCAGGAAACAUGGCCAGGGCGCGGCUUCCAAGGGCGAGCAGAGAACCAGCAGGACGCGGCGGGCUGAGGGAGAGGCAGAGCGCGCGCUGGAGGAGCCGUUCGGCUGGGCGCGGUCCGAGCUGAAGCAGGAAGGGAGCCAGGGACGCGCUAUGGAAACGAGUAGGGGAUCCGGCGAAGUGGAAGACAAGCAGAGGCGCGGUCCGAGCAGGAAAAUCCUGGGCACGUAGAGCUCCGGGCAAGCUCCAGAGAUGAGCACGUAGGGGCUGUGCGAGUCCGGCAAGCGCUGGCCAGCAGGACGCCACCAUGGGGAGCUUGGCCAGGCGCCGGAGCAGAGGAGAGCAGGGAGGGAGCGCCGGGAGAGAGAGAGCAGCGCAGAGGAGAGCGCGGCUGGGGAAAUCUCGACACAGCGCAGCGAGCGGCUCGGCAGGGAGGCUUGGCAAGAGAGAGCUUGGCCGGCGGCCAUGGCCGAGCAGGGACGGCGCGCAAGAGAAGCUCGGCGAGGAAGAUGGGGCGCACGCCAUAGGGCUCGCGGCCGGCACUGGAAUCCAAGCAAAGGGGAGAGAAACUGGGGAAGAGGACGCGCUAGGGGAGAGAGAGAGGCAUUGGGGCCAGGCGCGGGAGGAGGAGCCGGCGAGCAGAAACGAGGAGCAGGGAGGAGUGCGCCAUGGGAGCCGCUCGGCGAGCGCAGGGGUGUGGCUCUCCUCCACCGCGCGUGGCAGAGGAAACUUGGAGAUGGCGGCGUGGAAGACGCAGAGACCCGAGGCAUGCACUAUUUUUAUCCCGCGACGGCUGAAAAAAAAUCAAUAGGGCGGCGGGAUUUUCUUAGGCAUAGGUAGAGAUGUCCAAACGGGCCGCCCGGCCCGGUCCGGUCCGGGCCCGGUGAAGCCCGGCCCGCCAGGCACGAUUAAAAAAUCGGGCCAGGCCGGCUAAGCACGCGAGCUCAAUUUCUUGUCCGAGCCCGGCCCGCAACGGGCCUAAAAACGGGCCGAAAAGCGGGCUAUGCGGGCCGAAAAGCACGUUUUAGUGUAAAAAAAACGGGCUUAAUGGGCUUAGAGCUAAACGGGCCGUGCCGGGCUAACCCACCAUGCCUAAUUUCCUGUCCGAGCCAGAUGCACCAUCUUGGGUAAAACACAUAGAAGAACGUUUACCAACAAGUGGUCACGGUAAGUUCAUAGCACACGAGACGGGUGUAAAUGUCGAACAACAUCACAGUUGACCCGUGGCUUUGGGUUGUAAUUUUUGGCUCUGCAUUCCCUUAGAAAUGACUUUUGAGCAGAAAACUUACGCUGCGCUCUCUUAGGAACGACUUUUGAAGCUUCAGAUCGUAAUUUUUGGCUUUGCAUUCCCUUAGUAACGACUUUUGAGCUUCAAAAUUUACUUCGUUUCCUUAGAGACGUCUUUCGAGCUUCGUAAAUCCAUGAGGAAGAUAUAUUUCACUCUGGUGUAGACACAAUUAUUACAAGAAAUUGAAAUUACGUUCUUCACUACUUGUUUCUCAUACAGAAAAUAAAAUGGCAUAAAAGGUAAAAGUACAUCAAAAGUAGAAUAUUCCUCAGUAUAUAUGCUUCAACUCUGGUACAGUGCUGUUGACUGUACGAGCUUCGGACUCCUCCCUGAAGUCGUGCUGCUGUUGGGCGUGCUAGUGCCCUUCUGACUGCUGGCAUUGGGUAUGAGUAGGUGGCAAUGGUGGUGGCAGUGGGAGCUGCUUCAGCUGAUUCUGCCGCGCUUCUGCUUCGGCAAUCUCUUUUUGCUUCUGAAUGGUGACCUGAUAUGUUGUUGUAGUGUGGCCCUUGUCUUCACCACAGAAUAAGCAAUAGAGUUUUCUGGGUUAAUCCCCAUAUCUACCUCUGAAGCCCCUGCCGCCUCUGCCCCUUAGAGCUGGUGGCCUGAAAGAGCUUUGUUGUUGCCCUGAAGAUUGUGAGCUAUGUUGUGGCCUCUGAAACUGGCUUCCUCUGUCAUCACUUUGAGUGGAAUUGUGAAUUGAUCUGGCAUGCCUAGUGUGGAGUCUUCCUCCGAAGCCCCUAGUCAUCUCAGAAAACCUAUAAGCUUCUUCCCUUCUCUGGCGAAAAUCAUUAUCGGCCCGGAUGUACUCAUCCAUCUUCUGAAGCAGCUUCUCCAGAGUCUGAGAGGGUUUCCUGGCGAAGUAUUGAGCCGUAGGUCCUGGCUGUAACGCCCUGAAUUUGGGGGUAGAUUUUUUUCUUCUUUUCCCUCACCAAAUUCAGGCGUUACCCUUUCCUUUUCCCUUUUCUCCUCGCUAAACCUUGAUCUUUUCCAAAGUAUAGCGGGAUUCGGCUUGAGGUUCCAUGUAAAGCAAAACCCUAAAAUAUUCUAUUUUGUGUGAUGCACCAUGCCGGACCAUGCAUACCCUUUGAUUGUUUAAAAGUGUGAAUGCAUUCAUUUAGAGGAAAAUAGAUUUUAGAAAAAGAAAACCUUUUAUUUCUCCCUCCCCCUCUCCUUCCCCAUUUUCGGCCCAGCCCCCCCUUCCCUUCCCGCCGUGGGCCGCCUGGCGGCCCAGCCGCGCGCCCCCCUCCCCCUUUGGGCCCAGCCGGCCCAGCCGCCCCCCUCCCCUUUUCUUUUUCCAAAAAAUCCCCUCCCCGCAGGCCCCGCUCGUCAUCCCCUCUCUCUCUCCCUCACCCUAACCCUAGCCGCCGUCGCCCCCGUCCCGCCCCCGCGCCGCCGCCUCCGUGCCGGCCUCCCUCUCCGGUGAGGUUUCUCCCCCUCUUCUCCCUCCUCUCCUCCCCUCCCUCCUCCUUCUCUCCCGCCGGCGUCCCCCGCCCCCCGCGCCAUGGGCGCGCCCGCCCCGGCGAGCUCGGCCGCCCCGCCCCGCCUCGACCGUGCCCCCGGCCCCGGCGCGCCUCGCUCCGGCGAGCCCGCCCCUCGCCGCGCCCCGGCUGUCCCGGCUCGGCCGCCCCCGCGCGAGCCCCGCUCGGCCGCCCCGCCCUGGCUCGGCCGUCCCCGCCGCGCCCGGCUCGGCCGCGCCCGGCUCGGCCGCGCCCGCCUCGGCCUCGUGCCGUCCCGGCCCCGGCCGUGCCCCCCGCCCGCCCGUGCUUCGCCCCGCCCGUGCGCCGUGCUCGCCCGCUCGCCCCGCCGUGCCUUGCUCGCGUCGUGACGGCCCCGGCGUGGCCUCGAGCUCGACCCAGCGUGCCUUUAGCGCGCGGCUUUGAGCUCGGCUAGCGCUCGGCCCCGACGUGCACACGACUAAUUCGUGGCGUGUGCGUGCGGUCUCGCGCGCGUGCUCGCGUAGUGCGCGUGCCUUGGCACGACCAGUCGUGCCCCGUCUAACCCCCAGACGCCCCGUCUACCCCCCCCGUGUCCUAUGCGUGCUAAUCCCGUUGUUCAUAUUAAUAAGAUAGGGGCCUCAAUUUGGAAAUUGGUUACGUUAGUUAAUUUGUAUAGAUAAUCAUCUAUCUCAUUCAAUGAUAAUCUACUAAAAGUGGUCACGUUUACAUUAGUGCAUGUAGCUAAUUCUUUUAUUAGAACCAAUUGGAAUUAGAGCACGUGACGUCUAGUUAUUCGUUUACCCGUAGUGCACCUCGAGCAUAUGCCUUAACCCCUGCGAGACCUUCUCUCGUUUCUUUCGAAUCAAGGUAAAUUCAUUAUCGUAUGUGAUAUUCUAUGCAUGUUUACUUUAUUUGUUCUCUUGUAUGGUGUACUGUUUGUUUCCUAAUUUGAAUGGAUGGAUGUAUGUAUGCUUGCAAUCGCAUAGAGAACGAUCCGGUUGAAGAGCCCGAGGAACUAGCAGGAGAAGCCCCUGAGCAGCAGUCGGUUGGUGGAGGCAAGUGUCCCUUGACCUAUCUCUGUCCUAUUCAUUCUUUAAUUCACCUCCCGCUUUACACAUUUAUGCCUAAGGAUUGACUAGCUUUUGUUAUCCAUGUCCUUGUUUACCUAUUUGGGUUGGAUUAUUAUUGUCUAGCUUUAUGCUAUUGCUCAAACUCUAAUCAAUGAACAUGAUGAGAUUAUCUAUGAUACGCUGUUUUCCCUUCUCUUAUUAUGAUGUUGUACUUGUGGUCUUCAAGGGGGCUCGAGUGGUUUCUCGAGUGCCUCUCCGUAAGGACCUGUUCUAUGGAUGACCGCCCGGGAAAACAGUGCAACCAUGAGGGUGGAAUGGGAUGCCCUUAGCUGAAUAAUUGGAGGAUCCGGGGUGUAGUUCACUUAGCCAUCGUGCCGUCAAUGGGGCUCGGUGUAUGCGGCUCGCUCUGCCAAGUUUGGGUUCACCCCUUGGGGAGGAGUGCGGUGCAUUUAGGAAACCUAACGGGUGGCUACAGCCCCGGGGAAUCUUUGUAAAGGCUACGUAGUGAUGCCCUGCUAGGCCACCUAGGUAGUGGUUAAUGGGGAGUAGCUCUCUCCGGGCAGAAUGGGAAUCACGGCUUGUGGGUAAAGUGCACAACCUCUGCAGAGUGUUUGAAAACUGAUAUAUCAGUCGUGCUCGCGGUUAUGAGCGGCCAAGGGAGCUCCAGUGAUUAGUGGUACUUGAUCAGAGACAUUAUGGUACAGGUGACUAUGAGAUCGACGGUUUUGGUUAUGACUAUGGUGCUGGUAAGUGGUAUUCUUUCCGUUUGGAAAGGGUACAUCGGGCUAAUAACUUGGGUUAAUGCUAAAACCUGGCCUUCUAUUAGUAAAUAAUGAUCUGACCAACUAAAAGCAACUGCUUGACUUAUCCCCACAUAAAGCUAGUCCACUAUAGCCAAACAGGAUACUUGCUGAGUAUGUUGAUGUGUACUUACCCUUGCUCUACACACCAAACCCCCCCCAUCCCCAGGUUGUCAGCAUUGCAACCACUGCUCAGGAGAAGAUGAAGCUGUGGAAGGAGACCUUCAGGAGUUCCAAGACUACGACGAGUUCUAGGCGUGGGUUAGCGGCAACCUCCAGUCGGCUGCCUGUGAAGGCCGCGUUUAUCUACGUUUCUUUUCUGCACUUUGAUUUAUUGUAAGGACUGUUGGGGACUUGUUCUCAAAUGCUAUGAAUCAAGAACAAGGCAACAUAAAAUGUUAAAUGUUAAUGUCCUUCGUCCAACGAAGCAUUAUUCCCUUGGGGAUUAAUGAACCUUGGACGAAGGUUGAUGACAAUACGAUUAUGAAGGUUAAAUGUUCGUAGUUGAAUUUUAAUAGAUUGUAUAAGAUAACAUAAAAUAUAGAAUAUCAAAGGUAAAUGAAUCAUAAACGAACCAUAUUAUAUCUACUCAAUGUAUUUAAUCAUUGAAUACAGUUAUACCUCUGCCUUGGCAAAGAUUGAUUCUCGAAUGAUGCGAUUGCAAAUACCGGAAUGCAUGAACAGUAAAGGAAUACUGUUCACUAUUUAUAGACACGGGACACAGCCUGUGAGGAAUUACAAUUAUGCCCCUCAUAAGGGAUUACAACAGCGACUCAAACAUUUAUGGACUAAAAGGUCAUUCUACUUUUAUGUCGGUUUGUAAUUCCGAAGCUUCAUGAAGAGGAACCUUCGGUCAUCACAUGCGGAUAGCUUCAGCCGAAGCUGUUUCUUCCUACCAGACCUUCGGAGACGAAGCAUAGUCCCAACAGUAGCCCCUUCGUGGUGCUAGAUCGUUUUUCGUAACGAGCUUGAUCCGUGAAAAAAGUAUCUUAGGCUUCGGGAAGUCGAAGGUCCAAAAAACACCUUCCCUGAGCUCGUUGCCGAGAAACGAUUAAAAUAAUCCGAGCGCGAGGUGGCCCCGCCAUGCAGCAGUUACACGUGUCCUGGCGAUUCACCUUCUCGGGUUCUGUGGCACCGUUCAGUGGGUGCCAGCUGUUCGCCUGGUGUAAAAAUCCUGGCGAUUCACCUUCUUACCUGCAUCACUAUAUAAACAGACGGGUAGGUGUGAAGUUACCACAACAUUCAUUGCUAUUUGCACUGUUUUGCUGCCAAAAUUUUUAACCAUAGCCGAAGCUUGACUCUCAGAAUCAGACGAAGCUCCAGUUUGAAGCCUACUUCGUCAGAAGAAAAAGCUUCGGAAGAAAUAGUAUUUAAUUCCCAAAAAAUUCAGAGUUAAAUGGCCAGAGUGCGUUCUACCGCUAGGGUUGGGCGUGAGGGAGGCGAAGCUGAAGGAUCGGAGACUGUUCCCAUCUCCGAAGCGAUGCAACGAUCCGGACUGGUAACCCCGGAAGAAAUCCCCACUGCUGAGACAGAACAGGCGACUGCCGAAGCGGAAGAAGGAAACAUUGAGGAAACUGAUUCCGAAGAUGAUUAUCGUAUUGCCAUGCCAAGUAAGCCCAGCCACUUGGACUUCGGAAAGUCGACUGUUUCGAAGGCUGAUCUAUCCAAGAUGGUGAAGUCGGGUUAUUUCAAUGAAAGUCAGAAGAAGCUACUACGCUUCUGGGGGGAAGAAACUACCCCGAAGCCUGAGAAGGAUGAAAUAGUCAUUUUCAAGAGCUUUCUAAAGGCUGGGUUGAGAUUCCCCCUGCAUGGGAUUAUUGCAGAUGUAUUGAAGAGGUUUGGGAUCUACUUUCAUCAGCUGACUCCUAACGCUAUCGUUAGGCUUAGCGUCUAUAUCUGGGCCCUCCGAAGCCAGGCGGUGGAGCCGUUUGCCGACAGCUUUUGUCGAGUUCAUGAGCUGCAUUAUCAGACGAAGGCUAGAAAAGAUGGAUUGCAUGAUAACUUUGGUUGCUAUAAUUUCGCCUAUCGGAAAACCACAAAGUUUCCUGUCAUCAGCUAUCGAAGCAAGUGGCCGGCAGGCUGGAAAUCGGAAUGGUUCUAUGUCAAGGUUGAUGACGACAAGGAGAAGCUUGUGUAGAGUCCGCUUGAACUAAUCUUCGGAGAAACUCGACCUCAUUGCAACAUGACACCAGAAGGUCCAACCCAAAAAGCGUUGGCUGAGUUUAAAAUUAUUUCAGAGCAUAUCAGCACAAGAGACCUGGUUCAAGAGUUUUUGGCUUCCUACCUUAAAAGAAUGGGAAAUGCUGAAGCUAGAGGGGGAGAAGAAAGAAGGGGAACUUGUGCGGUUACCUUACUAUUACAAGUUUAAGAAAUAUUUUAAAACACCUUGCCAAGAGUGGCUGGACACAAUUGAGAUAAUGUGCAAUGAAAUACUCGGUAAUUACUCCAAAAAAGAGGAUCAGUUGAUGACUGCUGCCUUCAGUACCCGUCCGAAGCGAAGACUGAAUCGAGUGCUAGACGCCCUGGGUUUUGAAUACCCCGACUACGAAAAUCUGAAUAAAGGUGUCGAAGGCCGGAAAAGGAAAAGGGUAGCCGAAGCUUUACAUGAAGAUGAGAAAGAACCGCCAAAAAAGAAGAAUAUUCCGAAGAAGAGGAAAGUAUCAUCUCCGAAGCAAAAAGUAUCCGACGAAGAGGAGACUCCUGCAUCACGCUCUGCUACUGACGUGGAAGAGAUUUUGAAGGUAAUGACUGAAUCCCUGCCUGCGAAGCUAAGUCCAUUGGGGCCUCAACUGACAAAGUUUUUUCAGAAGGAAAAGGAGCCCGAAAAAACGAAGAAAACAACUAAAACAAGGAGACAAAGAAUCAUCGCAGUGACAGAAGUUAUUGACAAGACACCACCGAGAGCUUCAGCUCAGAAGAUACCAGCGGCUGAGGAAAUAACAAAUAUUGAAGUCGCACCUUCGGAGAUCGCGGCUACCGAAGCUACCUCAAACGAAGAUUUGAACUUGGAAACCACAAUCGAACGCAUCGACAAAAUGCUGCUAAACAUGGCCACAGAAGAAGCUACUACUGCCGCCGAAGAGACCAUGGCCGCAGUGUCUGGGAAAGAAAAGGAAAUCGCUGACGAAACUUCAGAGGACGAAGCCUUCAUGUUUCAAAAUUUAGUUGGACAAGAAUUAUCAAAAACCGAAAUAGAAGAGCUUAAAGAAUAUGCCAAAUCUUGCGGAUAUAAACCAGGAGCACUCCUCUUCGGAGGUAUUGACGAUGAAAAAUUAGACUGUAUCCGGGAUCAAACUGGAGCUAAGAUUAUCGGUACUCUAUCAAAGAGUAUCGGUUUUCUGAAGCUGGAAACGGAUAUCAGCCGCUACCGACGACAACAUAUCGUUGGUAGUUUAUUUUAUUCCAAUUUCAAGGUGAACUACUUUUCCCUUGUCUUUUAUUGUUUUUAAUCACGAAGACAUUUCUAACGAAGGUUGUUUAUGUGCAGAGUAUGCUGUUGAGCAAGGCUUUGAAAAUGCAGCAGGAUCUGGAAGACAAAAAACACGAGGUUAUAAUUGAAAAUUUAGAGAGCAAAUUAAAAGAGCAAUCAGCUACUAUUGAAAAGAAAAACUUCGAGCUUCAGGCAGCUGAAGGCUUAUUAGCAGAAGCCGAAGCUAAAAUAGCAGAAUUGAAUACGAAGCUUCUCUGCCAAUCUGAACAGUUUGAACAAGAAAAGCAAGAACUUAAUGCGAAACUUGAAGCCGAAGCCCAACAAAAUUCAGAUUUGAAAAAAUUACUGGCAAGCCUUCAAGACAAAUGCUUAGAGUUUAGUAAUAGAUGUAUUCAACGACUGAGAAAAAUCUUCCACUCAGUCGGGGCUAGCAGUGAGAAGUUCACCCCGUCAACUGAAGAUUUACCAAAGACCUUCGAACAUAUUGAGGGUGAAAUUGAUGAGCUUGACGAAGUUAUAGCCGGGCACGGUGACUUCUGUGCCUGGGUAGCUUCUCGGGGCACUGCUGCAGCUUUUCUGAAAGCUGGUUGCGACCAUGAAAAAAUUGUUAAUAGGCCCAAUUUCACUCUAUCACCAUCAAUUUUAGAUGAUAUUCCUGACCUCGCCCGAAGCAUUUCUAAUAGAUUUGUAAAGAUGAUAUGGACAAAAGGCGGGCGAGAAAAGGCUGGAGACGAAGCUCGGAGUCAUCUUGAACCAGUAAGAAAUCAUACCUUGUGCUUACCUUUUCCUUCAAGCUUGGUUUUGACCCACAACAACUUAAUUCAUGUAGGAUGAUGAAGCCGAGACCGAUGCUUAAGGAGUAUGACGCCGAAGCUGAAGGCCUCAUGAAGAUCAGUAGGAGUAGACUGUAGACAAACUCAAGAAACUUUUGAAAUAACUUUUGUAAAUAUGACUAAACUGUUCUUAAUGAAUUCUGUUCAUACCUUGUAAUACGCUCUUACCCUUCCAUUAAUGUAUGAGAGACGCUUUGAUGUGGACGAAAUUAUCUUUUUGAGCCGAAGGCGAAAAAACACCUUCCCUUCUUUUCGUACACAGCGAAGCAUAAAAAACAACUUUUCCUUUUUUCCGAAGCUCUUCUUUUCGUACACGACGAAGUACAAAAGACAGUUUUUUCCUUUUUGCCGAAGCAACCACUUAUGCUAUGAUGAUGGUUAUCCUACAUAUGCCUGGAUGAAUGUUUAUGAAUGCAAAUGUUAUGAUGUAAUGUGAUGUGCAAAUGAAUGUCCAAACACAUAUCCGAAGCCAUAAUCACAACCGUUAUUUCCUUAGAAACAAUCACAUAUCAGCGCUGACUUUUCGCUGUAAGCCUCCCUUAGGAGCUUCUUCGCCUUUUACUUCAGCGGAAUCAGCGUUGACUUUUCGCUGUAAGCUCUGCAUUCCCUUAGGAACGUCUUUGGAGCUUCUUCGCCUUUUUCUUUCCGGCACUCGAUGGUGCGUUCUCAGCUUUUACAUUUACAUCUUUGGGGGAUUUUGCUCUUAUAGAGCUAAAAAAAAGGAAAUUACAUGUGAUGGCCCCAUUAAAAACCUUUCUCCCCCUUCAGAAAGAAAAGGGUGCCAUGAAAAAAUAAAAAAUAUAAAAAAUUACAUCAAGUUAUACAUAAUAUCGCCGAAGCUCAUCCGCAUUCCAAGAUCUAGGAAUGUCGUUGCCGUCCAUAUCCUUUAAUCUGUAUGAACCGGGUCUUGACGAAGAUGCUACCAAAAAAGGUCCCUCCCAUUUCAAAAGCAACUUGCCCACUGUAUCUGGGUUAGCCACUCUCCGAAGCACCAAAUGUCCUGGCUCAAUAUUCUUUAGCCGAACCUUUCUAUCACGCCAUUUGAUUGUUUCGGCUUGAUAUUUAUUGAUGUUCUCCACAGCUUGAAGCCUGAUCCCUUCUAUAGCAUCUUUUUCCACAGAAUGAUCAGCUUCAAAAUCUGAUUCUGCCGAAGCUACUACUCUUAUUGAUCCAGUUUUAGCUUCCUCCGGAGUUAUUGCUUUGUCACCAAACAAUAAUUUGAAUGGAGUAAAGCCUGUUGACCUUGAUAUUGUUGUGUUGUGGCUCCAUACCACUUUGAUUAAUUGAUCUGGCCACUUUCCCCUGGGUUGAUUGAAGAUUAACUUCAUUAUUCCUGUCAUUAUGAUGCCAUUGGCUCUUUCAACGAGUCCAUUUGACUCCGGAUGCCUGACUGAUGCAAAAUGGAUCUUCGUUCCAAUUUGAUCACAGAAUUCUCUGAAAACUUCGGAGUCGAACUGUGUUCCAUUAUCUACAGUGAUGGCCUUUGGUACUCCGAAACGACAAACAAUAUUCUGCCAAAAAAACUUUUGAAUGGUGGCCGAAGUUAUUGUGGCUAAAGGCUUUGCCUCAAUCCAUUUAGAAAAAUAUUCCACAGCCACUACAACAUAUCUUAAGUUUCCUUGGGCCGGUGGUAACGGACCUAACAAGUCAAGGCCCCACCUUUGUAAUGGCCAGAUGGGUUGUAUCAGCUGAGUUAAGGACGAAGGUUGUUUUUGAUCUCUUGCACAUUUCUGACAACCUUCGCACUUUUGAACUAAUUCCGCUGCAUCCGAAGCUGCCUUCGGCCAAUAAAACCCUUGACGGAAAACUUUCCCAAGUAAUGGCCUAGAUCCAAUGUGAGAUCCACACAGGCCUGCAUGUAUUUCUUUCAUCAAUUCUAUGCCUUCGGCUCUAGAUAAACACUUGAGUAAUGGAGCACAAACUCCAUGCUUGUACAACUCCCCUUCUAUCAUGACAUAUGGACGAGCUCUUGCCUCUAUCCUCCUGUUGUAAGUUUCGUCAUCUGAAAGGAAAUUACCCUGAAGGUAAGAGAUAAUCUCAGUUCUCCAGUCUUCACUAUAAACAGGAGAUAUAUUGAGGACUGCUCUUUCAAGAAGUUCCACUGAAGGUGCUUUUAUUGUUUCGAAGAACACAUCCGAAGGUAAGGGCAGCCCCUGUGCUGCUGACUUAGCUAGCAAAUCAGCAUGCUCAUUUUGUCCUCGAGGGAUAUUUUUGACAGAAAAUCCUUCGAAGGAAGCUUCAAUCCUUCGGACCGUGUCUAGAUAUUUUUCAAGCUUCGGAUCUUUAGCCUUACAACUCUUGUCGAUAUGACCCGAAACAACCUGGGAAUCAGUUUUAAGAAUGGCCCUUCUGAUUCCCAUUGCUUUUAACUUCCGAAGGUCCAAAAGCAGGGCUUCGUACUCAGUAAUAUUGUUAGUACAACUAAAAUCGAGUCUUGCUGCAUAACAAGUUUUAACUUUGGAUGGUGAAACCAACACAACGGCUGCUCCUGCUCCGAAGGUUCCCCAAGACCCAUCGCAAAACACUGUCCAUACUUCGGCAUCUUUAUUUGUUUCUUCAUCCUGAGCCCCUGGCGUCCAGUCAGCAAUGAAAUCUGCCAACGCUUGAGACUGGAUCGAAGAUCUAUGCACAUAAUCAAUGCAAAAUUCAUUGAGCUCUGCAGCCCAUUUUCCAAUCCGUCCAGUAGCUUCUCUAUUUCUCAUAAUAUCCUUCAACGGUUGUGAAGGAGGAACAACAAUAUUGUAUGCUUGAAAGUAAUGCCGAAGCUUCCUGGAUGCCAUCAAAACAACAUAUAACACCUUCUCCAAUUCUGUAUAGUUUUUCUUUGAUAUACUAAGAACUUCAGAUACAAAAUACACUAGGACCUACUUCUUGACUUGGCCAUCAAGCUUCUCCUGGACAAGUGCUGCACUUACCGCUGAAUGCGAAGCUGCCACAUAUAAUAACAAAGGAGCCCCUGGCGUUGGUGGAGUUAAUGUUGUUAAAUCUAUCAAAUAUUGCUUCAGUUCCUCGAAGGCUUUUUGUUGGCUUGGUCCCCAUUGAAAGACUUCGGCUGAUUUCAGCACUUCGAAAAAUGGUAAAUUUCUCUCUGCUGAUCUGGAUAUGAAUCUAUUGAGAGAUGCCAGCCUCCCUGUCAAUCUUUGGGCCCCCUUUUUUGUAGUUGGUGGCUCCAUUCGAAGUAUAGCUUCAAUUUUACUUGGAUUAGCUUCAAUUCCCUUUGUUGAAACCAAGCAUCCAAGAAAUUUCUCCUUCUUUACUCCGAAGACACAUUUAUCUGGAUUCAACUUUAGACCAGCUUGUCUAAAACUGGCGAAGGUCUCCUGCAAAUCAGCAAUGUGAUUUUCCUGUUUCGUGCUUUUUACAAUGAUAUCAUCAACAUAAGUUAGCACAUUUCUGCCUAUCUGAGACUGGAGAACCCUCGCAGUCAUUCUGCUGAAACUUCCUCCAGCGUUCUUGAGUCCCUCAGGCAUCCGAAGGUAACAAUAUGUUCCACUAGGGGUUAUGAAACUGGUCUUCGGCUCAUCUUCCUUCUUCAUCCAAAUUUGAUGAUAGCCUGAAUAACAAUCGAGAAGACUCAUAAGCUCUGACGAAGCUGCUGCAUCAACUAAGGAGUCUAUCCUUGGCAAUGGAAAUUCGUCCUUCGGACAGGCCUUGUUGAGAUCCGUAAAAUCGAUACACAUUCGCCAUUUGCCAUUGGCCUUUUUUACCAUAACAGUGUUAGCUAACCAUUCUGGGUACUUUACUUCUCUGAUAACUCCUGCACUGAGGAGUCUUUUGACUUCAUUCCGAGCGCCUUCGGCCUUGUCAUCAGACAUUUUCCGAAGCCUCUGCUUUCUGGGUCUGAAAGAUGGGUCAACAUUGAGCGAGUGUUCAAUAACAUCCCUGUUAACUCCGCAAAGAUCAUUGGGUGACCAUGCAAAAACAUCUUUGUUGUUGAAUAAAAACCUUAUCAAGGUUUUCUCCUGUUCUUCAGAUAAUUGGGAGCCCAACAGCACCUUCUGCUCUGCUAUGUCCUCACAUAGGAGCAUGGGCUUCGGCUGAUCUGCCGAAGCUGCUUUCUCCCUUCUGAAUUUGUACUGUUCACAAGCUUCAGCUCCAUCUAUGUUAUGGAUUGCUUUUGAGUCAGUCCAGUUUCCCUCGGCCCUUCUGGCAGCUUCCUGACUUCCAUGAAUAGCAAUGGGUCCUUGAUCCGAAGGUAUCUUCAUGCAAAGGUAAGCAGGAUGAAGAAUUGCUUCGAAAGCAUUGAGGGUGCCACGGCCAAUAAUUGCAUUGUAAGGGUAUUCCAUGUCAACAAUGUCAAACACAACUUGCUCGGUUCUGGUGUUGUUGACGAAACCGAAGGUCACUGGCAUGGUGAUCUUGCCCAGUGCUACGAUCUGUCUUCCUCCGAAGCCACAGAGAGGGUGUGUAGCAUCAUGAAUCUUGUCUUCUGGCUCUUGCAUUUGUCUGAAGGCCUUAGCAAAUAUAAUAUCAGCUGCACUGCCUGUAUCAACCAAAACAUUGUGGACCAGAAAUCCUUUGAUAAUGCAAGAAAUAACCAUAGCAUCAUUAUGAGGAAAAUCCUUGAGCUGAAGAUCCUCUUGGGAGAAGGUUAUUGGAAUGUGUGACCAUCUUGACUUGAUGAAGGGUCCCUGCACUCCAACAUGUUGUACCCUUCUCUGCGCCUCUUUCUUCUGCUUUUUGUUGGCUGGUUCUGAGCACGAACCACCUGUUAUCGGGAGCACCAGCUUCGGGGCCGAAGCAGCUCCAACUUGAUCGUUAAUCGAAGCCAUCAGCUCAAAAAGUGGAAGUGAGUUGACCGGAGGUGGGCGCCAAUGUUGGGAACUUGUUCUCAAAUGCUAUGAAUCAAGAACAAGGCAACAUAAAAUGUUAAAUGUUAAUGUCCUUCGUCCAACGAAGCAUUAUUCCCUUGGGGAUUAAUGAACCUUGGACGAAGGUUGAUGACAAUACGAUUACGAAGGUUAAAUGUUCGUAGUUGAAUUUUAAUAGAUUGUAUAAGAUAACAUAAAAUAUAGAAUAUCAAAGGAAAAUGAAUCAUAAACGAACCAUAUUAUAUCUACUCAAUGUAUUUAAUCAUUGAAUACAGUUAUACCUCUGCCUUGACAAAGAUUGAUUCUCGAAUGAUGCGAUUGCAAAUACCGGAGUGCGUGAACAGUAAAGGAAUACUGUUCACUAUUUAUAGACACGGGACACAGCCUGUGAGGAAUUACAAUUAUGCCCCUCAUAAGGGAUUACAACAGCGACUCAAACAUUUAUGGACUAAAAGGUCAUUCUACGUUUAUGUCGGUUUGUAAUUCUGAAGCUUCAUGAAGAGGAACCUUCGGUCAUCACAUGCGGACAGCUUCAGCCGAAGCUGUUUCUUCCUACCAGACCUUCGGCGACGAAGCAUAGUCCCAACAAGGACUAUAUGGACGUCUCAGACGUAUGAUGUAAUCGACUAUUAUUUCCCUUUUUAAUACCAUUUUGAGCACUGUGUGAUGAUGUCCAUGUUAUGUAACUGCUGUGUACGUGAAUAACUGAUCCUGGCACGUACAUGGUUCGCAUUCGGUUUGCCUUCUAAAACCGGGUGUGACAUAAGUGGUAUCAAAGCCGUGCUGACUGUAGGACCGCUAACCUAGAAUAGAAUGGUCGUUCUAAGGACUAUAGACCUCUGUCCCUGCCUUGACUUUGAUAUCCCUUCAAAAGUUGGUCAUACCGACCAAACCUAUGUUCUACUAUACAUUAUACCUUGCUAAAAAUUGUGUUUUAUUCUAAUCCUUCAUUUAUUUAUGAUUCAUUAUUUGCUGGUCAUAUUAAUUCUAUCCUCACCCUUUUGCUUGCGAUGUCUUUUGUAGAUGGCUCGACUUAGACACACUGCACGAAAGUCCGUCAUCCCCUUCUUACCCUCCCGCCUUGCUGAGCGUCCGCUUCGCCGUCCCGUGGCCGGACAGUCCAGCCACUUGGAGAGACUGCACCACCGCCUGCAUGAGGAGCAGGAACGUCGACAACAGGAGCAGCAGGGCUCUUCUUUCUUGCUCCAACAGGAGAUAAAGUCCGUGAGGAGCUGCUCCCCUGUGCUUCCCCUGGAGGCGCCCCCUGCACCACCACUAGGCGCCCCAGCCUCUGGAGUGGCUGCUGGAGGAGACCCAGACGACGGAGGUGGCGACGACAGCUCGAGCCACAACACCGACCUCUCUGCUGACCAGGAGCCAGAAGGAUGGGUUGCUCGACCCAUCACUCGCGACGCCGCUCGCGGGUGUCACUUCCACGAUGCGCUCGACACCCUGCUACGUCGGGCACUUAACCGGCGUACUUGGUCCAUCGAGUAUCGCUGUGUGGUCUACCAGCAUAGUCGCGGGGUCUACCCGGACCGCUGGGAGGCAACCUGCUUGGUGCGCCGCCCGGAGAACAGUCUCCAGGGUGUGGAGGCUUGCUCAGAGCACUAUUCUAUCUCUGAGCGGGACUCAGCUGAGGCGGCCAUGCAAGAUGCUGCACGGCGUGCGCUUUCGCACUACUGCUCGGUUCUCGGUGGGGUAGCUGACGGUCUUGACCUGAAGUAUUACCCCCGCCGUCCAUCUGGCAGCACAGGAGGCGUGAUUGUCUCACUUGUCGGUGAGGACAAUCCUAGGUUGAGCAGCACAGUCAACCUAACCGCCGUGCUAAACACGGAGCUGGACCAUGCAUUAGACGAGCUGAGUAGGGCUCGUGCUGAGAUCGCCCUGCUGCGGGCUGAGCGCGCGGAACGUCGUCACCUGGAUGAUGGUUCCCCCGCUCCCGCCGGGACUUAGCACCCGUACCGCUCACCUCGGCGUGGACGCCAGUCUUAUGGCAACCCCGACUGCAAGACCAAGAUAAAUCUAGAACCAUAGAUCAUUAGAGUUGGACCUUGUAAUUAAUACAAAAUAUAUAUACGUAGAAGCUUCAGUCUUAGCGUUAGUCUCGCUCUUAGUUAGUCUUAGUUAGACAGGGUAGUUUGCUAUAUCCUGUGCAUUUAUGCUUGUUAUGAUGAACUAUGUUCGGUUUGGAUCUUUGUAAUGACUGCCACCAGAGUGUGGGUAUCCCCUGCAUUAUGGUUUACCUGUUAUAUGUUAAUGGAGUUAGUUAUAUAGUUGGGAAACCUUUUAUUCCACUUUCCUCUUUAUCUGAGAAGUUGUGUUGGUCUGUGUUGGAGAUUAGUGAAGAUGCUCGUCUGUUCAGUGUUGUUGAAGGAUUCUAUACUCUUUUCUUAUGCUGCAAGAUUUGCCAGAUCAGUUCUGAUGUGUGGUUGCAUUCUGCAGAUGUCAGAGAACAGGCGCAGAGGAGGAAGGCGUGCUCAGCAGGAGCGAGCCGCUCAACAGGAAGAGGUACCCCAGCAACAGCACCUGCCGCCCCCGCCCCCGAUGUCGAUCGAGCAGAUGUUUCUGAUGCAGACUCAGGUAGUUCAAGCCAUCGGUCAGACUUUGGCCGCCAUUCAGUAGCAGCAGCAACAGCAGUAGGCCCCACCUCAGCCUCAUAUGCCUCAGAUGCCCAGAGACAAGCGUGCUGAAUUCAUGAGAGGUCAUCCACCAACGUUCGCUCAUUCUUCUGACCCCAUGGAUGCUGAAGACUGGCUGCGCACUGUGGAGCAGGAGUUGCAUACCGCUCAGUGCGAUGACAGAGAGAAAGUCUUGUAUGGUCCCCGUCUGUUGAGAGGAGCAGCUCAGUCAUGGUGGGAGUCUUACCUCGCCACCCAUGCCCACCCCGACACCAUCAUCUGGGAAGAGUUCAGAGGAAGCUUUCGUCAGUACCAUGUUCCUGCAGGCCUGAUGACUGUAAAGAAGGAGAAGUUCCUGGCUCUCAAGCAAGGGCCAUUGUCUGUCAGUGAGUACCGAGAUAGGUUUCUGCAGUUGUCUCGCUAUGCUCCCGAAGAUGUCAACACCGACGCCAAGCGGCAGUACCGUUUCCUGAGAGGCUUGGUUGACCCUCUGCAGUACCAACUGAUGAAUCAUACCUUCCCAACAUUCCAGCACCUGAUUGACAGAGCAAUCAUGACAGAGAGGAAGCGUAAGGAGAUGGAGGAUCGUAAGCGCAAGAUCAGUGGACCCCAGCCUGGAAGCAGCAAUCGUACUCGUUUCCCAGGCAAUCAACCUCAUCAGUUCAGGCAGAACCAGCGUCCACCUCAGCAGCAUCAGCAGUUCCAAAGGCAGUAUCCUCAGCACCAGUAUCAGAAUCGUCAGAACUAUCAGUCAGGAGGUCAGUUUCAGAGGCAGAAUCAGCAGGCACCUCGUCUUCCUGCCCCAGCAACCCAGCAGAAUAGCCAGGCAGCACCAGCUCAGGUCGGAAACAGAGCAUGUUUCCACUAUGGAGAGCAAGGCCACUGGGUGAUGCAAUGUCCGAAGAAGGCAGCCCAACAGCAGUCAGGCCCUAAUGCCCUAGCAAAGCAGAAUGUGCCUCAGCCUGGAGCAGGCAAUCGCUCUCAGCCGCGCUACAACCAAGGGAGGCUGAAUCACUUGGAGGCCGAAGCAGUUCAGGAGACCCCCGGCAUGAUAGUAGGUAUGUUCCCAGUCGACUCCCAUAUUGCAGAAGUGUUAUUUGAUACUGGAGCAACACAUUCUUUCAUUACUACAUCAUGGGUAGAAGCACAUAAUCUUCCAAUUACUACCAUGUCAACCCCCAUUCAAAUUGACUCAGCCGGUGGUAGAAUUUGAGCCGAUAGCAUUUGUUUGAAUGUAUGUGUGGAAAUAAGGGGGAUAGCAUUUCCCGCCAACCUUAUAGUAAUGGGUACUCAGGGAAUAGAUGUCAUCCUAGGGAUGAAUUGGCUAGAUAAGUAUCAGGCAAUUAUCAGUUGUGAUAAGAGGACAAUCAAGUUGGUGUCUCCACUAGGAGAGGAAGUUGUGACCGAGUUAGUCCCGCCUGAGCCGAAGAAAGGAAGUUGUUAUCAGAUGGCUGUCGAUAGCAGUGAAGCAGACCCAAUUGAGAGGAUCAAGAUUGUGUCUGAGUUCCCGGAUGUGUUUCCAAAGGACUUACCGGGUAUGCCACCAGAGCGGAAAGUUGAGUUUGCCAUAGAGCUUCUUCCUGGAACCGCCCCUAUCUUUAAGAGAGCUUACAGAAUAUCCGGACCAGAGUUGGUUGAGCUUAAGAAGCAAAUUGAUGAGCUGUCAGAGAAAGGUUACAUCCGGCCAAGCACCUCGCCUUGGGCCGCUCCUAUCUUGUUUGUGGAAAAGAAAGAUGGCACCAAAAGGAUGUGCAACGAUUACCGAGCUUUGAAUGAGGUCACGAUCAAGAACAAGUACCCUUUGCCCAGAAUAGAAGAUCUGUUCGACCAGUUGAGAGGAGCCAGUGUGUUCUCAAAGAUUGAUCUGAGGUCAGGUUAUCAUCAGCUCAGGAUCCGACCUUCGGACAUUCCGAAGACAACAUUCAUUACCAAGUAUGGUUUGUAUGAGUUCACUGUGAUGUCUUAUGGUUUGACCAAUGCACCAACCUUUUUCAUGAACUUGAUGAACAGUGUAUUCAUGGAUUACCUUGAUAAGUUUGUGGUGGUAUUCAUCGAUGACAUUCUGAUUUAUUCUCAAAGCGAAGAAGAGCAUGCAGAUCAUUUGAAGAUGGUAUUGCAGAGAUUGCGAGAGCACCAGUUGUAUGCAAAGUUGAGCAAGUGUGAAUUCUGGAUCAAUGAAGUCCUGUUCUUGGGUCACAUAAUCAACAAAGAAGGAUUGGCCGUGGAUCCGAAGAAAGUGGCAGACAUUCUGAACUGGAAAGCGCCAACAGAUACUCGAGGAAUCAAGAGUUUCAUUGGAAUGGCCGGAUAUUAUCGGCGAUUCAUUGAAGGGUUUUCGAAGAUUGCGAAACCAAUGACAGCGUUGCUAGGCAACAAGGUUGAGUUCAAGUGGACCCAAAAAUGCCAAGAGGCCUUCGAAGCGCUGAAAGAGAAGUUGACAACAGCGCCUGUCCUAGUCUUGCCUGAUGUGCACAAGCCUUUCUCGGUGUAUUGUGAUGCUUGUUACACAGGUUUGGGAUGUGUGUUGAUGCAAGAGGGAAGAGUUGUGGCUUACUCGUCCCGACAGCUGAAGGUUCAUGAGAAGAAUUACCCAAUCCAUGAUCUAGAGUUGGCAGCAGUGGUUCACGCACUAAAGACAUGGAGGCACUAUCUGUAUGGACAGAAAUGUGAUGUUUACACAUACCACAAGAGUCUGAAGUACAUAUUCACUCAGUCAGAGUUGAAUAUGAGGCAACGAAGAUGGUUAGAGUUGAUCAAAGACUAUGAGUUGGAGAUCCAUUACCAUCCAGGCAAAGCAAACGUAGUGGCAGAUGCUUUGAGCAGGAAGAGUCAAGUCAAUCAGAUGGUCGCUCGUCCGAUGCCUUAUGAGUUGGCUAAGGAGUUUGACAAGUUGAGUCUCGGAUUUCUGAACAAUUCGCGAGGAGUCACAGUUGAGUUGGAACCUACCUUGGAGCGCGAAAUCAAAGAAGCGCAGAAGAAUGAUGAGAAGAUCAGUGAGAUCCGGCGACUGAUUCUAGAUGGCAGAGGCAAAGACUUUCGAGAAGAUGCAGAAGGUGUGAUAUGGUUCAAAGACCGCUUGUGUGUUCCCAAUGUCCAAUCCAUUCGGGAAUUGAUUCUUAAGGAAGCUCAUGAGACAGCCUAUUCGAUUCACCUUGGCAGUGAGAAGAUGUAUCAGGAUCUGAAGAAGAAAUUCUGGUGGUACGGAAUGAAGAGGGAAAUCGUAGAGCAUGUGGCUAUGUGCGAUAGUUGCCGAAGAAUUAAGGCAGAGCACCAGAGACCUGCUGGAUUGUUGCAACCGUUGCAAAUUCCUCAGUGGAAAUGGGAUGAAAUCGGUAUGGAUUUCAUAGUCGGAUUGCCUCGCACUCGAGCCGGCUACGAUUCCAUUUGGGUAGUAGUGGACCGCUUAACCAAGUCAGCCCACUUCAUACCUGUCAAGACCAACUACAGCAGUGCAGUAUUGGAAGAAUUGUAUAUGUCUCGGAUCGUUUGUCUUCAUGGUGUGCCAAAGAAGAUAGUGUCAGACAGAGGAACGCAGUUCACCUCUCAUUUCUGGCAGCAGUUGCAUGAAGCCUUGGGCACACAUCUGAAUUUCAGUUCAGCUUAUCAUCCGCAGACAGAUGGUCAGACCAAAAGAACCAAUCAAAUUCUUGAAGACAUGUUGAGAGCCUGUGCGUUGCAGGAUCAGUCCGGAUGGGACAAGAGAUUGCCUUAUGCAGAGUUUUCCUAUAACAACAGUUACCAGGCCAAUUUGAAGAUGUCACCAUUUCAAGCGCUCUAUGGAAGGAGUUGCAGAACUCCGUUGCAAUGGGAUCAGCCUGGAGAAAGAAGGUGUUUGGGCCAGACAUUCUGCUUGAAGCCGAAGAGAACAUCAAGAUGGUUCGAGAGAAUCUGAAGAUAGCGCAAUCAAGGCAGCGAAGUUAUGCAGACACAAGAAGAAGAGAGCUGAGUUUUGAAGUCGGAGACUUUGUCUAUCUGAAAGUGUCACCGAUCAGAGGAGUCAGAAGGUUCGGAGUCAAAGGCAAGCUAGCACCCCGCUACAUUGGUCCAUACCAAAUUCUCUCAAGGCGUGGAGAAGUGGCCUAUCAGCUCAGUCUGCCAGAGAAUUUAUCUGCUGUGCAUGAUGUCUUUCAUGUGUCUCAGUUGAAGAAGUGCUUGCGUGUGCCAGAAGAGCAGUUGGCAGUGGAAGGUCUUGAAGUCCAGGAGGACUUGACCUACGUUGAGAAGCCAGUGCAAAUCCUUGAGGUUGCAGACAGAGUCACCCGAAGGAAGACCAUCAGAAUGUGCAAGGUCAGAUGGAAUCACCAUUUAAAGGAAGAAGCAACCUGGGAGCGUGAAGAUGAUCUGAUAGCUAAAUACCCAUAGCUCUUUGCUAGCCAACCCUGAAUCUCGAGGGCGAGAUUCUUUUAAGGGGAUAGGUUUGUAACGCCCUGAAUUUGGGGUAGAAUUUUUUCUUCUUUUCCCUCACCAAAUUCAGGCGUUACCCUUUCCUUUUCCCUUUUCUCCUCGCUAAACCUUGAUCUUUUCCAAAGUAUAGCGGGAUUCGGCUUGAGGUCCCAUGUAAAGCAAAACCCUAAAAUAUUCUAUUUUGUGUGAUGCACCAUGCCGGACCAUGCAUACCCUUUGAUUGUUUAAAAGUGUGAAUGCAUUCAUUUAGAGGAAAAUAGAUUUUAGAAAAAGAAAACCUUUUCUUUCUCCCUCCCCCUCUCCUUCCCCAUUUUCGGCCCAGCCGCCCCCCUUCCCUUCCCGCCGUGGGCCGCCUGGCAGCCCAGCCGCGCCCCCAACCUUUGGGCCCAGCCGGCCCAGCCGCCCCCCUCCCCUUUUCUUUUUCCAAAAAAUCCCCUCCCCGCGGGCCCCGCUCGUCAUCCCCUCUUUCUCUCCCUCACCCUAACCCUAGCCGCUGUCGCCCCCGUCCCGCCCCCGUGCCGCCGCCGCCCCUCCUCGGCGCCGCCACCGUGCCGGCCUCCCUCUCCGGUGAGGUUUCUCCCCCUCUCCUCCCUCCUCUCCUCCCCUCCCUCCUCCUUCUCUCCCGCCGGCGUCCCCCGCCACCCGCGCCAUGGGCGCGCCCGCCCCAGCUCGGCGAGCUCGGCCCCGGCCCCGGCCGCCUUCGGCUCGGCCGCCCUCGUCCGCCCGCGCCCGGCCGCUCCGCGCCGCCCCGCCCCGCCCCAUCGCGCUCGGCCUCGGCCUCACCCGCGCCCGCCCUCCCCGCGCCGCUCUCCGGCGAGCUCGGCUCGGCCGCCCCGCCCCGCGCUCGGCCGCCCUGCCCCGCCUCGGCCGUGCGCCCGGCCCCGGCGCGCCUCGCUCCGGCGAGCCCGCCCCUCGCCGCGCCCCGGCUGCCCCGGCUCGGCCACCCCCGCGCGAGCCCCGCUCGGCCGCCCCGCCCUGGCUCGGCCGUCCCCGCCGCGCCCGGCUCGGCCUCGUGCCGUCCCGGCCCCAGCCGUGCCCCCCGCCUCGCCCGUGCUUCGCCCCGCCCGUGCGCCGUGCUCGCCCGCUCGCCCCGCCGUGCCUUGCUCGCGUCGUGACGGCCUCGGCGUGGCCUCGAGCUCGGCCCAGCGUGCCUUUAGCGCGCGGCUUUGAGCUCGGCUAGCGCUCGGCCCCGACGUGCGCAUGGCUAAUUCGUGGCGUGUGCGUGCGGUCUCGCGCGCGUGCUCGCGUAGUGCGCGUGCCUUGGCACGACCAGUCGUGCCCCGUCUACCCCCCAGACGCCCCGUCUACCCCCCCGUGUCCUAUGCGCGCUAAUCCCGUUGUUCAUAUUAAUAAGAUAGGGGCCUCAAUUUGGAAAUUGGUUACGUUAGUUAAUUUGUAUAGCUAAUCAUCUAUCUCAUUCAAUGAUAAUCUACUAAAAGUGGUCACGUUUACAUUAGUGCAUGUAGCUAAUUCUUUUAUUAGAACCAAUUGGAAUUAGAGCACGUGACGUCUAGUUAUUCGUUUACCCGUAGUGCACCUCGAGCAUAAGCCUUAACCCCUGCGAGACCUUCUCUCGUUUCUUUCGAAUCAAGGUAAAUUCAUUAUCGUAUGUGAUAUUCUAUGCAUGUUUACUUUAUUUGUUCUCUUGUAUGGUGUACUGUUUGUUUCCUAAUUUGAAUGGAUGGAUGUAUGUAUGCUUGCAAUCGCAUAGAGAACGAUCCGGUUGAAGAGCCCGAGGAACUAGCAGGAGAAGCCCCUGAGCAGCAGUCGGUUGGUGGAGGCAAGUGUCCCUUGACCUAUCUCUGUCCUAUUCAUUCUUUAAUUCACCUCCCGCUUUACACAUUUAUGCCUAAGGAUUGACUAGCUUUUGUUAUCCAUGUCCUUGUUUACCUAUUUGGGUUGGAUUAUUAUUAUCUAGCUUUAUGCUAUUGCUCAAACUCUAAUAAAUGAACAUGAUGAGAUUAUCUAUGAUACGCUUUUUCCCUUCUCUUAUUAUGAUGUUGUACUUGUGGUCUUCAAGGGGGCUCGAGUGGUUUCUCGAGUGCCUCUCCGUAAGGACCUGUUCUAUGGAUGACCGCCCGGGAAAACAGUGCAACCAUGAGGGUGGAAUGGGAUGCCCUUAGCUGAAUAAUUGGAGGAUCCGAGGUGUAGUUCACUUAGCCAUCGUGCCGUCAAUGGGGCUUGGUGUAUGCGGCUCGCUCUGCCAAGUUUGGGUUCGCCCCUUGGGGAGGAGUGCGGUGCAUUUAGGAAACCUAACGGGUGGCUACAGCCCCGGGGAAUCUUUGUAAAGGCUACGUAGUGAUGCCCUGCUAGGCCACCUAGGUAGUGGUUAAUGGGGAGUAGCUCUCUCCGGGCAGAAUGGGAAUCACGGCUUGUGGGUAAAGUGCACAACCUCUGCAGAGUGUUUGAAAACUGAUAUAUCAGCCGUGCUCGCGGUUAUGAGCGGCCAAGGGAGCUCCAGUGAUUAGUGGUACUUGAUCAGAGACAUUAUGGUACAGGUGACUAUGAGAUCGACGGUUUUGGUUAUGACUAUGGUGCUGGUAAGUGGUAUUCUUUCUGUUUGGAAAGGGUACAUCGGGCUAAUAACUUGGGUUAAUGCUAAAACCUGGCCUUCUAUUAGUAAAUAAUGAUCUGACCAACUAAAAGCAACUGCUUGACUUAUCCCCACAUAAAGCUAGUCCACUAUAGCCAAACAGGAUACUUGCUGAGUAUGUUGAUGUGUACUCACCCUUGCUCUACACACCAAACCCCCCCCAUCCCCAGGUUGUCAGCAUUGCAACCACUGCUCAGGAGAAGAUGAAGCUGUGGAAGGAGACCUUCAGGAGUUCCAAGACUACGACGAGUUCUAGGCGUGGGUUAGCGGCAACCCCCAGUCGGCUGCCUGUGAAGGCCGCGUUUAUCUACGUUUCUUUUCUGCACUUUGAUUUAUUGUAAGGACUAUAUGGACGUCUCAGAUGUAUGAUGUAAUCGACUAUUAUUUCCCUUUUUAAUACCAUUUUGAGCAUUGUGUGAUGAUGUCCAUGUUAUGUAACUGCUGUGUACGUGAAUAACUGAUCCUGGCACGUACAUGGUUCGCAUUCGGUUUGCCUUCUAAAACCGGGUGUGACACUGGCCGAAGCCCUUUAAUCAUGGCCUCAAUGACGAUUUCAUUGGGCACUGUGGGUGCUUGUGCUCUUAGGCGCAAGAACCUUCGUACAUACGCCUGGAGGUAUUCUUCAUGGUCUUGCGUGCACUAGAACAAAGCUUGAGCAGUAACUGGCUUCGUCUGAAACCCUUGGAAACUGGUGAUCAGCAUGUCCUUCAGCGGCUGCCAUGAUGUGAUUGUUCCUGGCCGAAGAGAGGAGUACCAGGUUUGUGCAACAUUUUUGACUGCCAUGACGAAGGACUUCGCCAUGACUGCAGUAUUGCCCCCAUAUGAAGAUAUGGUUGCUUUGUAGCUCAUCAGAAACUGCUUCGGAUCUGAGUGCCCAUUAUACAUGGUGAGGUGGGGUGGCUUGUAUGAUGGUGGCCAUGGGGUAGCCUACAGUUCUGCUGACAGAGGAGAAGCAUCAUUGUCGGUACCCUAAAACAGGGGUACCCCUUACUACAGUAUGAAGGCGCGGUGUCCACGUGGCUAUUUCUAGUCACAUGGCAAACAACAUCCGACCCCACCGCGCGGACGGCUCCGGGGCCGCCACGUGGCCAGAAAAGACGAUAUGCUCCAAGGCAUAAACAGUGGGUUCGGACCCCCAUGGGAAAGUACCGGACCCCUGUACAUACGGACCGGACCUCUGGGUAAUUUCCAGAACCUCCACGGGUGUGCCCGGACCCCCCUGUGCAGGGUCCGAGCCACUCACAAUAGGGUCCCGGGAUUCUGGGACAAAGAGUAUCUGGACCUUAAUUAAGGUCAGGUGGGGGUCCGGAGCCGACACGUGUCUGCACCAUACCGCAUACACCUCUGCUCCCCGCUCAGGCGGAGACCCGAUGCUGCCACCUGGCCCGCGACGUAAGCCAGCGGGUGGAGCCUGACGUAAGGCCUAUGGGCCGCACGUCCUCUGCAUUUAUUGCGGAUAAGGCGCGCCGCCUGUCAAACUGGCAGGUGAUGUGCCGCCUCAGCAUUUAAUGUGCACUGUCCACUCCACUGGCAGGCGAUGUGCCGCCUUGGCAUUUAAUGUGCCCUGUCCACUCCGCUGACGGGCGGUGACCAGACCAUUCUAUCGGCGGCGUGCCUGUCCAUUCUGUUGGCAGGCAGUUACCGAGGAAGCAGCCAUGAGAUAUUAAUACUAUAUGGACUACGGACAUUAUGGCGCUCGGGGAUCUUUUGGACGACAUUGGCAUUGGAUACUUCUAUAUGUAUUCCCUUCGUUUUGCCCCUGGGCCCGCAUGUCGGGGCCCAGCACCCUUGUACGUGCCCCCCUUGAGCUAUAAAAGGGAGGGCACACGACGUUACAAGGCAGACCCAACUUAGGCUCACACACUCACUUAAACUCACAAGGUCAUACAAGCUCUCAAGCUCAAUACAUCACACAGUGGAGUAGGGUAUUACGCUCCAGCGGCCCGAACCACUCUAAACCCUUGUGUGUUCUUGUGUCCUUCCCGAUUCCAUCUAGUAGGCAAAACGCUUAGGCCCCUCCUCAUCUUAGGAUUUAGGGCGGGUGCGUUCCGCCACCCGGCCGGAGAAUUUCCUCUCCGACAUUUGGCGCGCCAGGUAGGGGGCUAGGCUUUAGGUUUCUGCUUGUUCUCCUGCUCGAUGCCAUGGUUCACAUCAUCGAGCACCAUGAUUUUUUGCCCGAGUAUUUCAUGGUGGAGGAGGCGGCCUCCUCCACACCGCGGGGCCACCAACCUCCCUACACCUGGUGUAGCUGCUGUUGUGCACUUCGUGCGGCAGCACACUCCCGCGCAAACAUCCAGGGUGUCUAGGGCAGUGCCUGGGGCGCUAUCCGUGGCCAGAGAGUUGCUGCGCCACCCUCCUAGCUCCAUGGCCUCGCCGGGGGCCAUGAAGCAGUGGUGUGACGACGUCGACCGCCUGCUCGGCAUGGAGCACUAUGGCUCAACAACUCAACCAGGCCCAGGCCUCGGUCAUCCCAGUGUCAACAUGAGGCAUCGGCGUCUGUACGCUCGCCCUCGGUGAGAGCCACGCCGACUGAGGACCUGCGGGCAGAGCUCAACCACCGGUGUGCUGGAGAGGACUAAUGACCUGCGGGCAGAACUCAACCGCAUGCGUGCGAGCGAGGAUGCCCGUGUCUCUCUGGAGAGGGCGUGUGAGCGCCGAUAGAACGUCGAGGGUCACAACCUCGACUUCGACUUCGCUGCGGUUGCACUGCAGACUCCAACGGGCGGCCGGAUCCAAGCGGGUGUCCCAUUGGCCGGCGUGGGCUGCGCCGCGCUGGCGGAUCAUCUCCGCGCGGCGACUUGGCCGUCCAAGUUCUGGCCACACUUGCCAGAAAAGUACGACGGUACGACUAACCCGUCGGAAUUCUUGCAGGUGUAUGUCACCACCAUUACGGCUACAGGUGGAGACACCGCCGUAAUGGCAACAUACUUCCAUGUUGCCUUGUAUGGGCCGGCCCGGACUUGGCUCAUGAACCUUACCCCGGGGUCGAUCUACUCCUGGGAAGGGCUCUGCGCGAGGUUCGUAGCGAACUUCGCCAGUGCUUAUCAGCAGCAUGGCCUGGAGGGGUAACAGCGGCUCACCUCCACGUAGUGAGGCAGGAGCCCAGGGAAACCCUCCGGAUGUUUAUCUCCUGCUUCACCAAGGUACGAGGCACUAUACCCCGUAUUUCAGAUGCUUCCAUCAUCACUGCUUUCCGCCAGGGAGUACGUGAUCAAAAGAUGCUGGAGAAGUUGGCCACGCAUGACAUGGAAACUAUCACCACGCUCUUCGCUCUGGCCGACAAGUGCGCCAGGACCGCCGAGGGUCGUGCAUGGCACUCAGCACCAUAGACCAGGGUUGCCCAGACGGGUGGCUCGGGUGCCAUCGCUCAGGACGACAAAAAGAAGAAGAAGAAAAACUGCAGCUGCGAUUGGGGGCCGAAAUGAGCGCAACAAGCACCCACGGCCACAGAGGGGUAACAGCGGCUCAUGCCCUGUACACCCCAACAGUCGCCAUAGCCGCCGCAGGGUGUCGUGAGAUCAUCGAACUCACGAAGCACGUCAGUGAACGACACGAGCAGACCUCCAAAGAUGGCUCCCCUCCUCGUCGCCGGCCUGGCAAGGAAAGGGUCGACAGCGGCGAGGUGGCCACAGGAGAACCGGACCUCGGGUAUGAGUCACCCGAGGGGGUCCUGUAGGAUGUUUUCAUCGUAGACUACGACUCCGGCGAUGACAACUAGUCGGGCCACCGGGGAGACCUCGUCCUUCCUGGUCUACGGGGCUGAAGCCUGCCUUCCCCCGGAAACCCUUAUGGGCUCCUCAUGGGCCCAGUAUUUUAACGAGUCUAUGCAGGAAUAGCUGCGGCGUCAGGGCAUCGACUUCAUCAACGAACGCAUAUGGCAAGCGGUGACCUGAAAUGCAUGAUACUACCAAGUGCUCGGGCGCCACCGCCAGCGGAUCGUGCAUAGUAGGGAGCUCGGGGUCCGAGACCUAGUCCUACGGCGAGUACUGAACCGAGAAGGGCUCCACAAACUCUCCCUCAGUUGGGAAGGACCCUUCAAGGUGACGGAAGCAUAUCGACCCGGGGGUGUCCGCCUCGCCACAACUGAAGGAGUGCCUUUUCCCAAUCCCUGGAACAUAGAGCAUUCAUGUAAGUCCUACCCAUAGAAGCAAGUCUGAGGGGUUAUGAUUCCUUCUUGUAACUAGGUUGUGCAUACGUGUACGCCAGCUCGGUGAGGUCCGCCCUCAUAAGCCCGGCCUGUUGGUCUGCACUCAUGCAUGUCAAGUUAUAAGGAAAAAUUUACCCCCUCAGAUGUGCUCCUGUGAUGGUUUAUUCUGCUACAGAUCCCAGAUAUUAUUAUUUUUUAUCUAACCCACCCAUACGGUCUCCCACCCUUGCUGGUAUAAUGACAUCCGAAUUUAGUAGCCAGGCUUGCAGUUUAGGACCCCUCUACGAAAGCAGGGGGGUCCGGCAGCCUGGGGGCCAGUUUUGGAGAAUGGGUACUCGUCUCCUGGGGUUGUCCGAAGCUGUGUAGCCGCUUAGAUUGGUUCCACACCAUAAGACUGCACGCUCCACCACUCUGUGACCAGCAUCCUAGUAUUUGGAACUAUAGCCCUGUGGGUCCGAUAACCUGGGGUCCGGUUCUAGAGAAUGGACGCACGUCCCCUGGGGUGGUCCGGAGCCGUGUAGCCGCUUAGCCUAGUCCCGUACUGUAAGCCUACACACUCCACCACUCUGCGAUGGGUGUCCUAGUAUCUAGAACUGUGUUUCAGGGGGGCCGGGCACACGGCUUGGCUGCCCAGGCCAAAUCCUGUAGGUCCUGUUGCAUGAAUCAAAGGAUGACUGAUACCAGACGAUGGGUCCUAAUGGGUGUGCUACUAACACUUUGUAGCCGAAGCUUUGUGCAGGUCCAGGUCCCAGUCGAGGCUACCUCCUGGGGGCCGGUACACCAACUCUUUCUUAGGUAUGCUGGUAUCUAGCCUCGACGCGUCGAGCCUACAUCCCAGGGGGGCCGAGUACCAGGAGGGGAGUUGAUAAAACCACACACAGCAAGAACAAGCACCAUACAGAUAAGAGCUGUUUAAUUGAUAGUUCCAAAAAGUAUCUUACAAAAACAAAAGUUAUUACAUCUGCCUUCAAGCGGAGCCCUAGCCUCAUUUCUACAGUUAUGAGCUACUCGACACCAGUAGGGUCACGCUGGAAGCACAAGGCCGCUGUCUCCACGACAUCUUGUACGACCUCCCGGGCGGCGUCUUUAGUAUCGGCAACCGGACCAACGGUCACCAUUGGAGGCGACGUCGAGGCCAUUAAAGCCAAAGAGAUGGAGGCGUGAAAGAUGGAGCCGCAGCUCAGCUCGCUUCCCACCUAAUGGAGUUGGAGCUAGACCAGUUCAUGGAGGUGUACCAUGGGAUGCUGGUGAAGCUCACGCGAAAGAUGGAGCCGCAGCUCAGCUCGCUUUCCACCCCCAGAAGGUUGCUGCACAACACCUUUCCGUCCGAAUGCUGGCGGAAGAAGCGUCGCCCCCACGGACAUCUCGCAGAGGUAGGCGAAGUUGGCUACCUGGAGGAUGAAGUGGGACAUGAGGUGCUGAGGUUGGAGGCCGAGCCCCUCCAGCAGCAGCACGAAGAAAGACGAGAUCGGAAGCGCCAACCCACAUGAGAGGUUGGAAACGAAGAGCACGAACUCCCCAGCGGCGAGAUCGUCGGGGGGAGAGGCACCGGUGCGGAUCCUUCCGGCGAACACCGGCGCGUCCCACCCGAGCAGGUUGUGCACCAGGUUGAGUGCCACCUCGGACUGGAAGCGCUCGGGAUGGACUAGCAAGGCCAUGGCGAAUACAGCGGCAGAAGAAGUGCAAAUCCAAAGGGGCGCGGAGAACUCGAAGGCGAAAGUUCGCAGCGGUUGGGAGAAAAAUGCGGAAGCAUAACCGCUGCACACGGGGUGAACCCCUUUUUAAAGGAAGAUUCCCUUGCUCGUGCCCCGAGACGCCACAGAAAAGCUCACCCGACGUGCACCGAAGCAACCCAGCCUAUGAUACGGGGGCACGAGCCCACAAGUCAUCCAGCUGGGGUGCGGGUCUCCGAGUGCGAAGAAGGCGAGCUGCCGCGUGAGGAGCGGGCUGCUGCCCGCGGUAGUGCACCUCUUCAUCUCCGCCGAAAGCAGCGGCCAAGCCUCUGACACGGGGGCCCGGGCCCACAAGUCAUACUCCUUGGGCGUCGGUCUCCGAGUGCGAAGAAGGCGAACCGCCGCGUGAGGAGCGGGCCACCGACCGUGGUAGUGCGCCUCUUCAUCUCCGCCGAAAGCAGCGGCCCAGCCUCUGACACGGGGGCUCGGGCCCACAAGUCAUGCUCCUUGGGCGUCGGUCUUUGAGUGCGAAGAAGGCGAACCGCCGCGUGAGGAGCGGGCCGCCGCCCACGGUAGUGUGCCUCUUCACCUCCGCUGAAACCAACGGCCCAGUCUCUGACGCGGGGGCCCAGGCCCACGAGUCAUCCUCCUUGGACACCGGUUCCUGGGUGCAGAGAAGACGAACCGCCGCUCGCGCCAGUACCACGUCUCCUCGGAGCCGCCACAGAGGACAGAGAAGGUGAAUUUUCAAAACCAAUGCAGCGGUAUCGAGGCCCCCCGCGUGUGGCCAUCAUGUGUGGAGGUCACGGGUCAGUCAGCCGCGGGGACAGACGUGGAAGUUGGCGUGACCGAAGGCGGACUGGCAGUGAUUACGUCAGACACACGGAAGCGGCGCGCUAAUCGCCAGACAAGCUUUGGCCCCACCUGCAGGCUCGUAUCCUCCCCUGAGGCGGGCCCGGGAGCCACUGUCGGUACCCUCAAACAGGGGUACCCCUUACUACAGUAUGAAGGCGCGGUGUCCACAUGGCUAUUUCUAGUCACGUGGCAAACAACACCCGACCCCACUGCGCGGACGGCUCCGGGGCCGCCACGUGGCCGGAAAAGAUGAUAUGCUCCAAGGCAUAGGCAGUGGGUCCGGACCCCCAUGGGAAAGUACCGGACCCCUGUAGAUACGGACCGAACCUCUCGGUAAGGUCCAGAACCUCCACGGGCGUGCCCGGACCCCUGGGAUGGGUCUCGGACCCCCCUGUGCAGGGUCCGAGCCACUCACAACAGGGUCCUGGGAUUCUAGGACAAAGAGUACCUAGACCUUAAUCAAGGUCAGGCGGGGGUCCGGAGUCGACACGUGUCCGGACCAUACCACAUACACCUCUGCUCCCCGCUGAGGCGGAGACCCGAUGCUGCCACGUGGCCAGCUGCCCGCGAUGUAAGCCAGCGGGCAGAGCCUGACAUAAGGCCUCUGGGCCGCAUGUCCUCUGCAUUUAUUGCGGAUAAGGCGCGCCGCCUGUCAAACUGGCAGGUGAUGUGCCGCCUCAGCAUUUAAUGUGCCCUGUCCACUCCACUGGCAGACGAUGUGCCACCUUGGCAUUUAAUGUGCCCUGUCCACCCCGCUGAUGGGCGGCGACCAGGCCACUCUGCGGGCGGCGUGCCUGUCCAUUCUGUUGGCAGGCAGUACGCCCGUGCUGCGGCAUACGCUAUGCUCAUCAUGACUCGCGCGUUACCGAGGAAGCAGCCAUGAGAUAUUAAUACUAUAUGGACUACGGACAUUAUGGCGCUCGGGGAUCUUCUGGAUGACACUGGCAUUGGAUACUUCUAUAUGUAUUCCCUUCGUUUUUCCCCUGGGCCCACAUGUCGGGGCCCAGCACCCUUGUACGUGCCCCCCUUGAGCUAUAAAAGGGAAGGCACACGACGUUACAAGGUAGACCCAACUUAGGCUCACACACUCACUCAAACUCACAAGGUCAUACAAGCUCUCAAGCUCAAUACAUCACACAAUGGAGUAGGGUAUUACGCUCCGGCGGCCCGAACCACUCUAAACCCUUGUGUGUUCUUGUGUCCUUCCCGAUUCCAUCUAGCAGGCAAAACGCUUAGGCCCCUCCUCAUCUUAGGAUUUAGGGCGGGUGCGUUCCGCCACCCGGCCGGAGAAUUUCCUCUCCGACAAUCAUCAAAAGCAAAAUUUCCAUGAUGGAAAUCAUCAUACCAUUCAUCAUCAUCGUAGGAAUUGUCCUGACAAAGCUCUCUGCGUUGAGGUCUUCGGUCCUGGUCAUCUUGAGUGAGAUGACACAUUUCCUCAGCAGCUUCAUCGAUCUUCUUCUGUAGAUCGGAGAGACGAAGAAUCUUCUCCUUCUUCCUCUGGACCUCCUGAUGGAUGGCUUCGAGGUCCCUUAUUUCUUGGUCCAUCUCUUCCUCCUGAGGCAUUGGACUUGUAGCCUUCCUUUUUUGACUUCUGGCUUCAUGCAGUGUUUCCUGGUUGACGUCCAGUGGCUGCAGUGCAGCCCCUAGCCCUGAAGCUUUCUUCGACGGCAUGACGAAGGUCACAACUUGCCGAAGGUGGUCGAAUGAGUUCACCGGAGGUGGGCGCCAAUGUUGGGGACUUGUUCUCAAAUGCUAUGAGUUAAGAACAAGGCAACACAUAAUGUUAAUGGUUAAAGACCUUCGUCCUUUGAAGCAUUAUCUCCCUUAGGAUAUAAUUAUCUUCAGACGAAGGAUAUUGAAAGUCGCCUAGAGGGGGGGUGAAUAGGGCGAAUCUGAAAUUUACAAACUUAAUCACAACUACAAGCCGGGUUAGCGUUAGAAAUAUAAACGAGUCCGAGAGAGAGGGCGCAAAACAAAUCGUGAGCGAAAAAAGAGUGGAACACGAUGAUUUGUUUUACCGAGGUUCGGUUCUUGCAAACCUACUCCCCGUUGAGGUGGUCACAAAGACCGGGUCUCUUUCAACCCUUUCCCUCUCUCAAACGGUCCCUCGAACCGAGUGAGCUUCUCUUCUCAAUCAAACGGGAACCAAACUUACCGCAAGGACCACCACACAAUUGGUGUCCCUUGCCUUGGUUACAAUUGAGAUGAUCACAAGAAGAAUGAGAAAGAAAAGAAGCGAUCCAAGCGCAAGAGCUCAAAUGAACACGACAAAUCACUCUCUCUAAUCACUAAAGCUUUGUGUGGAGUUGGGAGAGGAUUUGAUCUCUUUGGUGUGUCUUGUAUUGAAUGCUAGCUCUUGUAAGGUGUAGAAGAGUGGAAAAACUUGGAUGACUUGAAUGUGGGGGUGGUUGGGGUAUUUAUAGCCCCAACCACCAAACUUGACUGUUGGUGGAGGAUGCUGUCGACGGGCGCACCGGACAGUCCGGUGCGCCACCGGACACUGUCCGGUGCGCCAGCCACGUCACCUGUCCGUUGGGUUCCGACCGUUGGAGCUCUGACUUGUGGGCCCGCCUUGCUGUCCGGUGGUGCACCAGACAGGCCCUGUAGGCUGUCCGGUGUGCCACCCGCACGUGCUCUGCUCCUCUGCGCGCGCAGGCGCGCAUUUAAUGCGUUGCAGUCGACCGUUGCGCGCGAAGUAGCCAUUGCUCCGCUAUCACACCGGACAGUCCGGUGUGCACCGGACACUGUCUGGUGACUCACCGGACAGUCCGGUGAAUUAUAGCGGAGCGGAUUCCCGAAGCUGGCGAGUUCAGAGUCGUUCUCCCUUGGGGCACCAGACACUGUCCGGUGGUGCACCGGACAGUCCGGUGAAUUAAAGCGGAGCGCCUCUGAGAAUUUCCGAAGGUGAGGAGUUCAGCCUCGAGUGCCCUGGUGCACCGGACACUGUCCGGUGGCACACCGAACAGUCCGGUGCGCCAGACCAGGGUGCCUUUAGGGUUGUCUUUUGCUCUCUUGUUUGAACCCUUUUCUUGGUCUUUUUAUUGACUUAUUGUGAACCUUUGGCACCUGUAGAACUUAUAGACUAGAGCAAACUAGUUAGUCUAAUUAUUUGUGUUGGGCAAUUCAACCACCAAAAUCAAUUAGGAAAUAGGUGUAAGCCUAAUUCCCUUUCAAUCUCCCCCUUUUUGGUGAUUGAUGCCAACACAAACCAAAGCAAAUAGAGAAGUGCAUAAUUGAACUAGGUUGCAUAAUUUUAAGUGCAAAGGUUACUUAGAAUUGAGCCAAUAGAAAUUCUCAUUAAGAUAUGCAUGGAUUGUUUCUUUAUUUUUUUUAACAUUUUGGACCACGCUUGCACCACAUGUUUUGUUUUUGCAAAUUCUUUUUGUAAGUUCUUUUCAAAGUCCUUUUGCAAAUAGUCAAAGGUAAAUGAAUAAGAUUUUGCGAAGCAUUUUCAAGAUUUGAAAUUUUCUCCCCCUGUUUCAAAUGCUUUUCCUUUGACUAAAACAAAACUCCCCCUCGAUAAAAUCCUCCUCUUAGUGUUCAAGAGGGUUUUAAGAUAUCAAUUUUGAAAAUACUACUUUCUCCCCCUUUAGAACACAAUGAGAUACCAAUUAGAAAAUCAUAGUUUAAAAUUAGGUGGUGGUGCGGUCCUUUUGCUUUGGGCUAAUACUUUCUCCCCCUUUGGCAUGAAUCGCCAAAAACAGAUACUUUGAGUGAAAUAUAAGCCCUUAUAAACACUUUCUCCCCAUUUGGUAAAAGACAUAUAAGUGAAGAUUAUACCAAAGUUGGAGAGUUGCUCGGAGCGACGGCGAAGGAUGAGUUUAUGGAGUGGAGUGGAAGCCUUUGUCUUCGCCGAAGACUCCAAUUCCCUUUCAAUACACCUAUGACUUGGUUUGAAAUUCACUUGAGAACAUAUUAGUCAUAGCAUAUAAAGAGACAUGAUCAAAGGUAUACUUAUGAGCUAUGUGUGCAAAGCAUCAAAAGAAGUUCCUAGAAUCAAGAAUAUUUAGCUCAUGCCUAAGUUUGUUAAAAGUUUGUUCAUCUAGUGGCUUGGUAAAGAUAUCGACUAAUUGAUCUUUAGUGUUAAUAUAUGCAAUCUCGAUAUCUCCUUUUUGUUGGUGAUCCCUUAGAAAAUGAUACCGAAUGGCUAUGUGUUUAGUGCGGCUAUGUUCAACGGGAUUAUCCGCCAAGCGGAUUGCACUCUCAUUAUCACAUAGAAGAGGAACUUUGGUUAAUUUGUAACCAUAGUCCCUAAGGGUUGCCUCAUCCAAAGCAAUUGCGCGCAACAAUGGCCUGCGACAAUAUACUCGGCUUCGACGGUAGAAAGAGCUAUGGAAUUUUGCUUCUUUGAAGCCCAAGACACCAAGGAUCUUCCCAAGAACUGGCAAGUCCCCGAUGUGCUCUUUCUAUUAAUUUUACAUCCUGCCCAAUCGGCAUCCGAAUAACCAAUUAAAUCAAAUGAGGAUCCUCGAGGGUACCAAAGCCCAAACUUAGGAGUAUAAACUAAAUAUCUCAAGAUUCGUUUUACGGCCGUAAGGUGAGCUUCCUUAGGGUCGGCUUGGAAUCUUGCACACAUGCAUACGGAAAGCAUAAUAUCCGGUCGAGAUGCACAUAAAUAGAGUAAAGAGCCAAUCAUCGACCGGUAUACCUUUUGAUCGACGGAUUUACCUUCCGUGUCGAGGUCGAGAUGCCCAUUGGUUCCCAUGGGUGUCUUGAUGGGCUUGGCAUCCUUCAUCCCAAACUUGUUUAGAAUGUCUUGAAUAUACUUCGUUUGGCUAAUGAAGGUGCCCUCUUGGAGUUGCUUCACUUGAAAUCCCAAGAAAUACUUCAACUCCCUCAUCAUCGACAUCUCGAAUUUUUGUGUCAUGAUCCUACUAAAUUCUUCACAUGUAGAUUCGUUAGUAGACCCAAAUAUGAUAUCAUCAACAUAAAUUUGGCAUACAAACAAAUCCCUGUCAAGAGUUUUAGUAAAUAAAGUAGGAUCGGCUUUUCCGACUUUGAAGCCAUUAGUGAUAAGGAAAUCUCUAAGGCAUUCAUACCAUGCUCUUGGGGCUUGCUUGAGCCCAUAAAGCGCCUUAGGGUACUCACUUUCUUCAAAGCCGGGAGGUUGCUCAACAUAGACCUCUUCCUUGAUUGGUCCAUUGAGGAAGGCACUUUUCACGUCCAUUUGGUAAAGCUUAAAGCCAUGGUAAGUAGCAUAGGCAAGUAAUAUGCGAAUUGACUCAAGCCUAGCUAAGGGUGCAUAGGUUUCACCGAAAUCCAAACCUUCGACUUGUGAGUAUCCCUUGGCCACAAGUCGGGCUUUGUUCCUUGUCACCACACCAUGCUCGUCUUGCUUGUUGCAGAAAACCCACUUGGUUCCUACAACAUUUUGGUUAGGACGUGGAACUAAAUGCCAUACCUCAUUCCUAGUGAAGUUGUUGAGCUCCUCUUGCAUCGCCACCACCCAAUCCGAAUCUCGUAGUGCUUCCUCUACCUUGUGUGGCUCAAUAGAGGAAACAAAAGAGUAAUGCUCACAAAAAUGUGCAACACGAGAUCUAGUGGUUACCCCCUUAUGAAUGUCGCCGAGGAUGGUGUCGACAGGGUGAUCUCGUUGGAUUGUUUGGUGGACUCUUGGGUGUGGCGUUCUCGGUUCUUCAUCCUCCUUGUCUUGAUCAUUUGCAUCAUCUUGAGGUGACUCAUCAUUUUGAUCUUCUCCUUCAUCAACAUGAGUCUCAUCCUCAUUUUGAGUUGGUGGAGAUGCUUGCGUGGAGGAGGAUGGUUGAUCUUGUGCAUUUAGAGGCUCUUCGGAUUCCUUAGGACACACAUCCCCAAUGGACAUGUUCCUUAGCGCGAUGCAUGGAGCCUCUUCAUCACCUAUCUCAUCAAGAUCAACUUGCUCUACUUGAGAGCUGUUAGUCUCAUCAAACACAACAUCACAAGAAACUUCAACUUGUCCAGAGGACUUGUUAAAGACUCUAUAUGCCCUUGUGUUUGAAUCAUAUCCUAGUAAAAAGCCUUUUACAGUCUUAGGAGCAAAUUUAUAUUUUCUACCUCUUUUAACAAGAAUAAAGCAUUUGCUACCAAAGACUCUAAAAUAUGAAAUAUUGGGCUUUUUACCGGUUAGGAGUUCGUAUGAUGUCUUCUUGAUGAUUCGGUGUAGAUACAACCGGUUGAUGGCAUAGCAGGCGGUGUUGACCGCCUCGGCCCAAAACCGAUCCAAAGUCUUGUACUCAUCAAGCAUGGUUCUUGUCAUGUCCAAUAGAGUUCUAUUCUUUCUCUCCACUACACCAUUUUGUUGUGGGGUGUAGGGAGAAGAGAACUCAUGCUUGAUGCCCUCCUCCUCAAGGAAGCCUUCGAUUUGUGAGUUCUUGAACUCCGUCCCGUUGUCGCUUCUAAUUUUCUUGAUCCUUAAGUCGAACUCGUUUUGAGCUCGUCUUAAGAAUCCCUUUAAGGUCUCUUGGGUAUGAGAUUUUUCCUGCAAAAAGAACACCCAAGUGAAGCGAGAAUAAUCAUCCACAAUAACUAGACAGUACUUACUCCCGCCGAUGCUUGUGUAAGCUAUCGGGCCGAAUAGGUCCAUGUGUAGGAGCUCGAGUGGCCUGUCAGUCGUCAUGAUGUUCUUAUGUGGAUGAUGAGCACCAACUUGCUUCCCUGCCUGACAUGCGCUACAAAUCCUGUCUUUCUCAAAAUGAACAUUUGUUAGUCCCAAAAUGUGUUCUCCCUUUAGAAGUUUGUGAAGAUUCUUCAUUCCAACAUGUGCUAGUCGGCGAUGCCAGAGCCAGCCCAUGUUAGUCUUAGCAAUUAAGCAAGUGUCGAGUUCAGCUCUAUCAAAAUCUACUAAGUAUAGCUGACCCUCUAACACUCCCUUAAAUGCUAUUGAAUCAUCACUCCUUCUAAAGACAGUAACACCUACAUCUGUGAAAAGACAGUUGUAGCCCAUUUUGCAUAAUUGAGAUACAGAAAGCAAAUUGUAAUCUAAAGAAUCUACAAGAAAAACAUUGGAAAUUGAAUGGUCAGGAGAUAUAGCAAUUUUACCCAAUCCUUUGACCAAACCUUGAUUUCCAUCCCCGAAUGUGAUAGCUCGUUGGGGAUCUUGGUUUUUCUCGUAGGAGGAGAACAUCUUCUUCUCCCCUGUCAUGUGGUUUGUGCAUCCGCUAUCGAUGAUCCAACUUGAGCCCCUAGAUGCAUAAACCUACAAAACAAGUUUAGUUCUUGACUUUAGGUACCCAAAUGGUUUUGGGUCCUUUGGCAUUAGAUACAAGAACUUUGGGUACCAAAACACAAGGCUUUGACCCCUUGUGCUUGCCUCCAACAUAUUUGGCAACUACCUUGCCGGAUUUGUUAGUUAAAACAUAAGAAGCAUCAAAGGUCUUAAAUGAAAUGUUAUGAUCAUUUGAUGCAGUAGGAGUUUUCUUUUUAGGCAAUUUAGCAUGGGUUGAUUGCCUAGAGCUAGAUGUCUCACCCUUAUACAUAAAAGCAUGAUUAGGGCCAGAGUGAGACUUCCUAGAGUGAAUUCUCCUAAUUUUGCUCUCGGGAUAACCGGCAGGGUACAAAAUGUAACCCUCGUUAUCCUGAGGCAUGGGAGCCUUGCCCUUAACAAAAUUAGACAAUCUUUUAGGAGGGGCAUUAAGUUUGACAUUGUCCCCCUUUUGGAAACCAAUGCCAUCCUUGAUGCCAGGGCGUCUCCCACUAUAGAGCUUGCUUCUAGCAAAUUUAAAUUUUUCAUUUUCUAAGUCAUGCUCACUAAUCUUAGCAUUAAGUUGAGCUAUGUGAUCAUUUUGUUUCUUAAUUAAAGCUAGGUGAUCAUGGAUAGCAUCAACAUUAAUGUCUCUACAUCUAGUACAAAUGGAAGUAUGUUCAAUGGUAGAUGUAGAGGGUUUGCAAGAUUUUAAUUCUAUAACCUUAGCAUGCAAUAUAUCAUUUUUACUUCUAAGGUCGGAAAUGGAAGCAUUGCAAACAUCUAAUUAUUUAGCCUUAGCAAGCAAUUUUUCAUUUUCAAUCCUAAGGCUAGCAAGAGAGAUAUUCAAUUCUUCAAUCUUAGCAAGUAGAUCAAUAUUAUCAUUUCUAUGAUUGGGAAUUGAAACAUCACAAGCAUUUGAAUCAACCUUAGCAAUUAAAUUUGCAUUCUCAUUUCUAAGGUUGGUAAUAACAUCAUGGAAAGUGCUUAGCUCACUAGAUAGUUUUUCACACUUUUCUACUUCUAGAGCGUAAGCAUUUUUAACCUUAACAUGCUUCUUGUUUUCUUUAAUAAGGAAGUCCUCUUGGGUGUCCAAGAGAUCAUCCUUCUCAUGGAUAGCACUAAUCAAUUCAUUUAGUUUUUUCUUUUUGUUGCAUGUUUAGGUUGGCAAAAAGGGUAUGCAAAUUAUCCUCCUCAUCACUAGCAUUAUCUUCAUCACUAGAAGUCUCAUACUUAGUGGAGGAUUUUGAUUUUACCUUCUUCUUUUUGCCGUCCUUUGCCAUGAGGCACUUGUGGCCGACGUUGGCGAAGAGAAGACCCUUGGUGACGGCGAUGUUUGCGGUGUCCUCGUCGGAGGAGGAGUCGGUGGAGCUCUCGUCGGAGUCCCACUCUCGGCAAACAUGGGCAUCGCCGCCCUUCUUCUUGUAGUACCUCUUCUUCUCCUUUCUUCUUCCCUUCUUGUCGUCGCCCCUGUCACUAUCACUAGAUAAUGGACAUUUAGCAAUGAAAUGACCGGGCUUACCACACUUGUAGCAUACUUUCUUGGAGCGGGGCUUGUAAUCCUUCCCCCUCCUUUGCUUGAGGAUUUGGCAAAAGCUCUUGAUGAUGAGCGCCAUUUCCUCGUUGUCGAGCUUUGAGGCGUCGAUGGGUGUUCUACUUGAUGUAGAUUCCUCCUUCUUUUCCUCCGUCGCCUUGAAUGCGACAGGUUGUGCUUCGGACGUGGAGGGGCCAUCAAGCUCGUUGAUUUUCUUUGAGCCUUUGAUCAUCGAUUCAAAGCUCACAAAGUUUCCUAUCACUUCCUCGGGAGUCAUUAGUGUAUAUCUAGGAUUACCACGAAUUAAUUGAACUUGAGUAGGGUUAAGGAAAACAAGUGAUCUAAGAAUAACCUUAACCAUUUCGUGGUCAUCCCAUUUCUUGCUCCCGAGGUUGCGCACUUGGUUCACCAAGGUUUUGAGCCGGUUGUACAUGUCUUGUGGCUCCUCCCCUUGGUGAAGUCGAAAGCGACCGAGCUCCCCCUCGAUUGUUUCCCGCUUGGUGAUCUUGGUCACCUCGUCUCCUUCGUGCGUGGUCUUUAGCACGUCCAAAAUCUCCUUAGCACUCUUCAACCCUUGCACCUUAUUAUACUCCUCUCGACUUAGAGAGGCGAGGAGUAUAGUUGUGGCUUGGGAGUUGAAGUGUUGGAUUUGGGCCACUUCGUCCUCAUCAUAAUCUUCAUCCCCUACGGAUGGUACCUGUACACCAAACUCAACAACAUCCCAUAUACUUUUGUGGAGUGAGGUUAGGUGAUAUCGCAUCAUAUCACUCCACCUAGCAUAAUCUUCACCAUCAAACGUUGGUGGUUUGCCUAAUGAGACGGAAAGUAAUGGCGUAUGUUUAGAAAUGCGAGGAUAGCGUAGGGGGAUCUUACUAAACUUCUUGCGCUCGUGGCGCUUAGAAGUUAUGGAUGGCGUGUCGGAGCCGGAGGUGGAUGGCGAUGAGGUGUCGGUCUCGUAGUAGACCACUUUCCUCAUCUUCUUCUUCUUGUCACCGCUCCGACAUGACUUGUGUGAAGAGGAUUCCUUUUCCUUCCCCUUGUUGUGGGACUCUCCCGAUGGAGCUUUCCUGUGGCUUGUAGCGGUCUUCUCGCUGGUCACCAUCUCCUUCUUGGCAUGAUCUCCCAACAUCACUUCGAGCGGUUAGGCUCUAAUGAAGUACUGGGCUCCGAUACCAAUUGAAAGUCGCCUAGAGGGGGGGGGGUGAAUAGGGCGAAUCUUAAAUUUACAAACUUAAUCACAACUACAAGCUGGGUUAGCGUUAGAAAUAUAAACGAGUCCGAGAGAGAGGGCACAAAACAAAUCGUGAGCGAAAAAAGAGUGGAACACGAUGAUUUGUUUUACCGAGGUUCGGUUCUUGCAAACCUACUCCCCGUUGAGGUGGUCACAAAGACCGGGCCUCUUUCAACCCUUUCCCUCUCUCAAACGGUCCCUCGGACCGAGUGAGCUUCUCUUCUCAAUCAAACAGGAACCAAACUUCCCGCAAGGACCACCACACAAUUGGUGUCUCUUGCCUUGGCUACAAUUGAGAUGAUCACAAGAAGAAUGAGAAAGAAAAGAAGCGAUCCAAGCGCAAGAGCUCAAAUGAACACGACAAAUCACUCUCUCUAAUCACUAAAGCUUUGUGUGGAGUUGGGAGAGGAUUUGAUCUCUUUGGUGUGUCUUGUAUUGAAUGCUAGCUCUUGUAAGGUGUAGAAGAGUGGAAAAACAUGGAUGACUUGAAUGUGGGGGUGGUUGGGGUAUUUAUAGCCCCCGCCACCAAACUUGACCGUUGGUGGAGGCUGCUGUCGACGGGCGCACCGGACAGUCCGAUGCGCCACUGGACACUGUUCGGUGCGCCAGCCACGUCACCUGGCCGUUGGGUUCCGACCGUUGGAGCUCUGACUUGUGGGCCCGCCUUGCUGUCCGGUGGUGCACCGGACAGGCCCUAUAGGCUGUCCGGUGUGCCACCCGCGCGUGCUCUGCUCCUCUGCGCGCGUAGGCGCGCAUUUAAUGCGUUGCAGUCGACCGUUGCGCGCGAAGUAGCCGUUGCUCCGCUGUCACACCGGACAGUCCGGUGUGCACCGGACACUGUCCGGUGUGCACCGGACAGUCCGGUGAAUUAUAGCGGAGCGGAUUCCUGAAGCUGGCGAGUUCAGAGUCGUUCUCCCUUGGGGCACCGGACACUGUCCGGUGGUGCACCGGACAGUCCGGUGAAUUAUAGCGGAGCGCCUCUGAGAAUUCCCGAAGGUGAGGAGUUCAACCUCGAGUGCCCUGGUGCACCGGACACUGUCCGGUGGCACACCGGACAGUCCGGUGCGCCAGACCAGGGUGCCUUCAGGGUUGUCUUUUGCUCUCUUGUUUGAACCCUUUUCUUGGUCUUUUUAUUGACUUAUUGUGAACCUUUGGCACCUGUAGAACUUAUAGACUAGAGCAAACUAGUUAGUCCAAUUAUUUGUGUUGGGCAAUUCAACCACCAAAAUCAAUUAGGAAAUAAGUGUAAGCCUAAUUCCCUUUCAGAUAUGAAGGACGUACCUUCAUAAUUUCAGUAUAUGAUAAUGAAAGUAGAAACAUAUGAAACAUGGAAAACAACAUGAAUGAUCAUAUGACAUCAUUAGGAUAAUUUUUUAUUAUCGCAUCAUCAAUAAACAGGAACAAUAUCGAAUUACAUUUAUACCUUCGGCUUGACAGAAGGUGAGAAUCCAAGUGUGACGUGCAAGUGAAUACAGGUCAGCGUGAACAGUACGGUGUUACUGUUCAUCUAUUUAUAGGCACAGGACGCAGCCUGUGUAAAAUUACAUCCAUGCCCUUUAUGUUUACUAUUGACCUAAGGACAAUCUAUCGAGGACUAGAUAGCCUUUUCCUCUUUAAGUCGGUUUCAUUUUCCGCUGCUAAGUCGAAGCUUCUCUACGCGUAGCUUCGGAACUGGUUCAACCUUCUUCCAGACCAUGCUUUUCAUAUCGUGUACAGCUUCAUUCUGAGGCCGAAGGUCCCUGUGAAUGUAUUAUACUUGGAAAACAUGUUAGUUGUGUUUUUGAGGACCUUCGGAAGAUGAAGGCCCCCAACACCAGUAGUAUGUGAAUUUCUGGACGUGUUUCCUGAAGAUUUUCCUGGAUUACCCCCUGAGAGGGAUGUGGAGUUCAUGAUUGAGUUAAAGCCUAGAACGACUCCUAUCUCAAGAAGGUCGUACUAUAUGCCUCCUAAUGAAUUGGCGGAACUAAAGACACAGCUUCAAGACCUGCUGGAGAAGGGGUUUAUCAGGCCAACUUCCUCACCAUGGGGUUGUCUAGCCAUUUUUGUAAAGAAGAAAAACCAAACUCUACGGAUGUGCGUGGACUAUCGACCCCUUAAUGAAGUUACCAUCAAGAAUAAGUACCCACUUCCUCAUAUCGACCUUUUAUUCGACCAGCUUACUGGAGCCCGAGUAUUCUCUUAGAUUGAUCUUAGGUUGGGCUAUCAUCAAAUAAGGAUUCAAUCGGAAGAUAUAACUAAGACGACUUUUACUACUCUAUAUGGACUAUUCGAUUAUCUAGUUAUGUCCUUUGGGUUAACAAAUGCUCCAGCGCAUUUCACAUAUUUGAUUAAUUCGGUGUUUAUGCCAGAAUUGGACAAGUUCGUAGUGGUUUUUUUAUUGACGAUAUUGUAAUUUACUCCAAGAAUAAAGAGGAGCAUGCAAAGCAUCUACGGAUUGUCUUAACGCGCUUAAGGGAACAUCAACUUUAUGCUAAGUUUAACAAAUGCACAUUUUGGUUGGAGGAAAUCCAAUUCUUGGGACAUGUCUUAUUAGCUAAAGGAAUUGUGGUUGACCCCAACAAAGUUAAGGAUAUUUUGGAAUGGAAAUCUCCUACUACAGUCCAUCAAGUUAGGAUUUCUACAAGAUAGUUAAGCCUAUAACAGAGCUAUUGAAGAAUGAUGUUAAGUUUAAUUGGUCUUCCAAUAUGAGGCUUUUGAGCAGCUGAAGAAACUAUUAACUAUUGCGCCAGUGUUGGCACAACCAGACAUUGAGAAGUCGUUUGAUGUAUACUGUGAUGCGUCAGGCAUUGGCCUUGGAUGUGUUUUGAUGCAAGAAGGCCGAGUUAUAGCAUAUGCUUCGAGACAACUACGUCAGCAUGAUGAGCAUUACCCAAUGCAUGAUUUGGAAUUAGCAGCAGUAGUUCAUGCCCUUAAAAUCUGGCGUCAUUAUCUAUUGGGUAAUGUAUGUCAUAUAUAUAUUGAUCAUAAGAGUCUGGAGUACAUUUUUACCAAGCCAGAGUUGAACAUGAGACAAAGGAGCUGGCUCGAGCUAAUCAAGGAUUAUGAUCUAGAGAUUCAUUAUCAUCCGGGAAAGGCUAAUGUAGUGGAUGAUGUUUUAAGUCAUAAGGCGUUUUGCCAUUGCGUUAUUGUGAGGUUACAUUACACUACUCUAUGCCAAGAAAUGAAAAGGCUAAAUUUUUGUAGUACAACAAGGAACUUUGAUGCAACUAAAGCUUGAGUUUGUUCUUCAACAGAGGAUUGUUGAUGCUUAGAAGGUUGAUAAGGGUAUGAAGCAUAUUUAAGAGAAAAUGGAAGCUGGUAAAGCCACUUGUUUUAGGAGAGAUGAUCAAGGAGUGUUAUUGUUCAAAGAUUGUAUAGUGGUGCCUAAGGAUGCUGAGCUCCGCCAGCAGAUCUUGGAUGAAGGUCAUCUUACUGGGUAUUCUACCCAUCUCGUAAGUACCAAGAUGUACCAAGAUUUGAGACAACAUUACCCGUGGACUAAAAUGAAGAUAUAAAUUGCUCGUUAUGUGGCAAAGUGCGACACUUGUCAACGAGUGAAGGUGGUGCACAUGAAGACUGCUGGACCCCUACAAUCGUUGCCUGUUCCAACAUGGAAAUGGGAUGAUAUAAGUAUGGAUUUUUUGUUGGAUUACCCAGGACAUCCAAUAGAUAUGAUUCUAUUUGGGUUAUAGUGGAUCGACUUACAAAGAUAGCUCAUUUUCUUCCAGUCAAAACAUAUUACCCAGUCCUUACCUAUGCUCAGUUAUAUGUUGCUCGUAUUAUGAGUUUGCAUGGAGUGCCAAGGACAUUAGUGUCGGAUCGAGGACCACAGUUUGUAUCCAAAUUUUGGGAAGGGUUACACAAGUCUUUGGGUACUAAGUUGCUCCAUAGUUCGGGACAAACAGAGAGAGUAAAUCAAAUACUGGAAGAUAUGCUACGAGCUUGUGUUCUGGAAUUUCCGCAAAAGUGGAGAGACUGUCUGCCUCUAGCAGAAUUCUCCUAUAAUAAUAGUUCUCAAGAGAAUAUCAAGAUGGCACCAUUUGAAGCCCUAUAUGGUCGACGAUAUAGAACACCUUUGAACUGGUCAGAACCAGGAGAGCGAUGGUUUUUCAAACCUAAUUUGGUCAAAGAAACAGAAGAAAGGGUUCAACACAUACGACAUAACUUGAGAGAAGCUCAAGCACGGCAGAAGAACUAUGCGGAUAAACGGCGUCGACCAUUAAUCUUCCAAGUCGGGGAUCAUGUGUACUUAUAAGUAUCGCCAAUGAAGGGAGUUAACCGUUUCAGGGUUAAAGGAAAGUUAGCACCCAGAUACAUUGGUCCAUUCCCUAUUCUCGAACAAUGUGGGCAUGUUGCGUACCAACUUCGACUACCAGAGUCAUUAUCUGUUGUACACAAUGUGUUCCACGUAUCGUAACUAAAGAAGUGUCCCCGAUCAAACCAAGGAUAUAUCAGAAGUUAAUUUAGGACCAGACCUAACUUAUUCAGAAUAUCCCAUCUGAGUUUUGGAUCAAAAGGAUCGAGUUACUCGAAAAAAGACACUCAAGUUCUAUAAGAUAUAGUGGAACCAACAUACAGAAGAGGCUACUUGGGAAUUUGAAGGUUUCUUAGAAAAGCAUUUCCCUAAGUUUCUAGCUUCUUGUAACCUUUAAGGUUUGUUGUAAAGGUCGAAGGGACCCACACAACCACCCCUGCCUUGUAAGAGAAAAUAGGAAAUAAGGUUGUGACAUAUUUCCUUUUCCAUUACUUACCCAUGAGCUUUAAAUCUUGGUAUGAGAUUCUUUUAUGGGGGAGAGGAUGUAACACCUUAGGUGUUACGAGAAUUAAAACUUUGGCAUGACAUCAUGUGCACAAGCAUUACAUUGUGUAUGAUACACCUAGAAUGCAUUCACGAGGCUAAAAUUUCAAAACAAAACAUGGGAUGUGAUGACUGCGGCUUGAGUUUAUAGUGUAGUAAGGGGAUUCUUAACCCUAGGUAGGAGUGAAUCUCUCCAAGGGCUAGAAGCAUGUGAUCUUAUGUUAUGAAUACUAAAGAGUGAUCUCGCCAAGUUUGGUAGUUAUGCUCAAGGAAUAAUGACUUAGACAAGUUAAGCACUUAAUGUACCCUAGGGCACUAAAAACCCUAAAUUGGAGCUUAAAGCCCUAAUUAGUGCCCUAUAGGGUGAUUUCAAUUCUAACCACUUUUUCCAAAAGUGUAUGUAUAAAGUAAUAGAGUAACAAAA